This 71259-nucleotide long non-coding RNA is filed under the name Triticum aestivum (bread wheat). Its description in RNAcentral is "long non-coding RNA (TAES_LNC010280)". The record is from RNAcentral. Lineage: Eukaryota; Viridiplantae; Streptophyta; Magnoliopsida; Poales; Poaceae.
GAAGGAGACUUGUACUCGGUGGUCGACUUGGAUGGUGCCGGAGUCGCUAAGACAUUGCACUUUGUAUGGAUGUGGAUGCUUCGUCUUGGGCAAUUGGAGCUUGGAGCAAAGUUCUUCACUUGCGACAUUAUGACAACUCCCUCCAUCAGUGAUGACCUUGACGGAUCUUCUAUUGAUGCCGGCCUUGGUGUGGAAUAUAUGGCAUCUUUGGUCUUCUUCUUGGUGAUGUUGUAGAGUCAGGACCUUGGAGACAACAAGGGCGGGACUUGAAUCUUCAUCGCAAAAGACUUGUUCUUCUUCGUCGUUCACUUGGCGGUGCAUGAAGACUUGCUCAAGGGCUUCCAUUUCUCCUUCACUCAUUGAGUCAUAAGUGCCAUCAUCGUUGAGGAUCAUUGUUCGCUUGUUGGUGCAUUCAUAGGACUUGUGGCCUCGGUCUCCGCAAGUGAAACACUUGAAGGAACUCGUCUUGACGGUCUCAUCGGUUGGGGUUGAUGUUGAUGAAGCUCUCGGCUUGAAGUUGCUCUUAGGAGGAUGACUUUGAGUUGACGAAGCUUUCUUGGAACUCGACUUUGUCGAUGUUGCUAGUAGAAGGCUUGGUAGUCGGUGUUGUAGUCGUUGAAGGUUGGUUGUUGGAGAAACCAUAUGUCUUGGAAGAGAACUUGGCAUACUUGAAAUCAUCUUGCACCUGGUGUUCCGCUUUGGUAGCUUGAUGCACUAGCUUGAUGAGGUUCGAGUAUGGUCGGAAGUCGGUGAUCUUCUUGAUAGGAUGGUUGAGUCCAUUCAAGAAACAUGCCAUUGUUUGCUCAUCGUCUUCCGUUUCAUUGGCUCUUAUCAUUGCAAUCUCCAUCUCCUUGCAGUACUCUUCAAUGCUUUUGGUUCCUUGCUUGAGUAGUUGGAGUUUCUUGAAGAGGUCGCAGUUGUAGUAGGUAGGCACAAAGCAUGCUCUCAUGACAUCCUUCAUUUGCGCCUAAGUAGUGAUGGGUGGUUCACCUCUUGCCUCUCGGCGCUCUAUGACUUGUUCGCACCGAAUGAGCACAUAGUCUUGGAACUCAAGGGAUGCCAUCGCUAUCUUCUUCUCUUCUUCAUAGUUGUGCAAACGGGAAAUCUUGUCAACCUUCAAUGCCCAUGAAAGGUACUCUUCAGGAUCGUUGCUUCCGUUGAACUUGGGCAUGGUGAACUUUAGUUUGCCAUAACGUUGCUCUUCAUUGUGUUGGGGUCGGGGAUGAUGACGCCCGUGUUGUAGAUGAUUGUAAAGUUCGUGUCGCUCUUGAUGAGGAGGGUUGUCAACCUCAUGUUGCUCUUGUCGUGGAGGAUUUCCAUUGUCUUCAUGCUCUUGAUGAACUUGAUGGUGAGCUUGUGGGGGGUGUUGUCGAGCUCGAGGAGGAACUUGAAGGAUGUGCCGGUGCACACAAGAUUGAUGUCAUCGUUCAUGAAGUUCUUCGCGAAGUGCUUCCUCUUGUUCACGUGCUUGUCGGCCUCGGUUGGCUACAGCUCGACUUGAAUCUUGGAGGGCUUGUUGUGCCGCAAGUGCUUGAGCUUCACAGAGUUCUUCUUAGUGUUGUGCCUCCGGAUCUUGUGCAACUUGGUGUAGACGCGCUCGCUCUUACUCUUCAUGUUGGCGUUGGCGUUGCAGUUCUCAUGCUAGCAAAAAAGCUUCUUGAGUUUGACAUCGUCGGUGCUCUUGAGAGUCGGUGUCGCGUAGAGGAUUGAGGCUUGCUUGAUGAUCGUUGCACGCGGCACGGCGUAGAGUGUUCGAUGUCGGUGUACUUGAGCCGCAACGUCGACUUGAGCGAGUCCUUCUUGAUGAAGACGAAGUGGAAGAAGAGCGGUUGAGGAACAAAGCGCGAAUUUCGUCCAUCCUUGCAUCAUUCUCUUGCUUGUGAUCAUCGAGCUUGUGGUCGAAGUAGUCCCUUGUACGUUGCUCGGAAAGUCACAAGUCGACGGCAAGGUUGUCGAUGCGUUCACUCAUAGCUUGUUGCUCUUGAUGCAAAGCACAUUGUGCACCAAAGAGGUGGCUCUUGGUGACGUAGGAGUUCAUGUCAUCGUCGUUCUCAAUGAAGAGUGGGUUGGUAGAAGUACUUAGCCUAUCCAUCAUUCCAAGAUAAACAAUGUGAGUGGUAGAAAGAGAAUAACGAAUACCAAAUGUACCUUGACCGAAGUUGAAAGUGGAUCGAUGAUCACUCCAAUGUAGGACAAGGAAAUAGCAAAUUGCGGAAUCCACAAAAAUGCUCUUGUUGCACAACACUAGAGAGACACUAGCACGAUUGCACAAUAGGCAGAUACAAAGAACUUGUGCACAACCUGCUUAGCAAAAAUGCAACGACUUCUAUCCCAAGUAUGCUCUAUGCAAGGUUUUUCAAUGAUAUGAUCCAAGAUGAUCUAGUAUGAUAAUAUUAAUGUUGUAUGAUGCUAUGGUUCUUGCUUAAAAGCUCUUUUCCUAUCUUUCCUUUUGCUUAAAAGCUUGUUUGCCUCUUUGAUGUUUAAGCUCUUUUCUCAUGCAAUGCUUGAAGAACCAAGAUAGCAAUUGUGUAUGCAGUGACAACUUUGUGACACAAGAGAUGAUACCAAUAUAUGCGACAAUGAUGUAUAUAUGCUAUGGGAAGUAUGAUCGCUAAUGUGCACAAGUCUCAUUGCCGGCAAUACUCAAUGGCUAGUCUCGAUGGGUAAGCAACGCAAAGGAGUAAGGCUAUGAUGGCUAUCAAUGUAAUGGCAAGAGUUACAUGUCCAAUACCAAGACGAGGUUACCAUUUCUUGCGGACGGUAUGGUGUCAAAAUGGUGGACCGAAUACCAAAAUGGAGUUGAGGUGGUCGUUGUGAUGACGCGUCUGUGGCGAAGAUGAGCGGCGGUGAUGUUGAUGUCGAACCGUACCUAAAUAGCCGAAACACAAGUAGGACACGGUACCGCAACUCAAAUUCUCAAAGCAAAAUUGGACCAAAAUUGUCGGAGUUGGAGUUGGUAAGCGGUGGUUGUGUAAGUGGUGGAUGUAUGCGGAAGUAUAUGCGGAGAAUCCUAUGGACAUCACCAUGUCAAGAGUCCGUUCGACGAGUGACACGUGCGACAUCUACUUCACAUACACAAAGGUGAAUCAUCUCCUUUACACGUGCUCACUUGACCCCUUCGAGGAUGGUAUACUACUUGACACUCCACUCGUGUGCAUACAUAGGUACUGUCGGAACACUACGGACGACGAGGAGGAGUGCAAGCGCCAAGGAACAACUACACCAUCCGCGACGGAAGCCUGGAAGCGACAACGGAAGAAGGCAGAGCUUCUGACGCUACAGCGGCCGGACAUCCGGGACAGAGGCCGGACAUCCGGCGCCUGGGCAGCCGCGCAGGAGCUGCCCCAACAGAUGGCCAACAGCAUCAGCGGCCAGACAUCCGGCGCCAGCCCCGGACAUCCGGCGCCUCAACAACGCCCCAACAUCCGGCGCCCAACCCCGGAAAUACGGACACCAGCUAUCUAGAGAGAAACAAUCUCGACCACCGCCAGGACGGACAUCCGGCGAGUGCCCGGACAUCCGGUACCCCGCAAAUGGCCGGACAUCCGGGCCCCAGCCCGGACAUCCGGCGCCUGCCUACGCGCAUGGACAAGGCCCGAUCCCCUUUCCCACUUACCCCUUCGUGGCUUAGACUAUAUAUUCUACCCCCUCCUCCUAGUUAGGGUUAGCAUUGUGAUAGCUCAUUUGAGAGAUAGAGCUACGCUCAUCCAUAUCGGAUCUACUCCACGAGAGAGACCGCGACCCCUAUAUGGAGAAGAUCCACCUUGGAUUCAAGACCUCCUCAUGGAGAAGACAUCAAGACCUCCUCACGGAGAAGAACGGUUACCCUUUGUAUCGUCCCUUGUUGAUUGUGGAUCUUGUAUCUCCUCUCGUGUUUCGGGGAUCUAGCACAUGUGUGAUCAUACUUGUUGUUUUGACGGUUCUCUUGUGUUUCCCUUUGUGAUUUCCCCUCGUGUUUCCACUCGUGUUCUUCCUGUUCAUCGCGGGAUAUGCUCCUUUCGUGAAAUAUCGGGCGAUUAGGGUUCUACCCUACAUCAUCUUGAUAUCAUGAGCCACGUUGUUCAUGAUUUCGGAGCCUCCACUCGUUGUUUUCUAGCCUAAUUUUGCUGUGUUCUUCCCCAAUUUCGAAAAUCCCCACAAAAAAUAGCCCCAAUUUUUUUUUGUGAUUUGUUGGUUUGAUGAAGUUUCAUUGGACUUGAUCCAUAGAUUUGCUUGGUUUCAAGUGGAUCUAGCAUCUCUCCAAGUUUACCCAUCUUUCAUCCACGAAAUCUCAUCGAUUUUGACCUUGGAAAUCGAGUUUUUCCACCCCCAAUUCAAAAUUUUCCGCCCAAACAAAAGCUGGAAUCGUCGGGCCGGACAUCCGGGCCAUCGGGCCGGACAUUUGGACCCCAAGACGGACAUCCGGCUCCUGGAGCGCCAAAUCUGCACAGUUCUGGACAUUAGGUCCCGGAUUUCCGGCCCCGAGCCCGGAUGUCCGACCCCUGACAUCUCAGCCAUCCCCGUUUCACCGAUUUGUCCAUAACUAAUUCAUCCGAAGUCUGAUUUUUGCGUUCUUUAGCUCAUUGAAAAGCUCUUGAUAUCCCCCUUCCCACAAAAAUACUUCCAUCACUGUCGGUGUCAAAACCGGCGGAUCUCGGGUAGGGGGUCCCGAACUGUGCGUCUAGGCCGGAUGGUAACAGGAGGCAGGGAACACGAUGUUUUACCCAGGUUCGGGCCCUCUUGAUGGAGGUAAAACCCUACGUCCUGCUUGAUUAAUAUUGAUGAUAUGGGUAGUACAAGAGUAGAUCUACCACGAGAUCAGAGAGGCUAAACCCUAGAAGCUAGCCUAUGGUAUGAUUAUAUGUUAUGGUUGUUGUCCUACGGACUAAAACCCGUUGGUUUAUAUAGACACAGGAGAGGGUUAGGGUUACACAAGGUCGGUUACAAAGGAGGAGAUAUCCAUAUCCGUAUUGCCUAGCUUGACUUCCAUGCCAAGUAGAGUCCCACCCGGACACGAGACGAAGUCUUGAAUCUUGUAUCUUCAUAGUCUAACAGUCCGGCCAAUGGAGAUAGUCCGGCUGUCCGGAGACCCCCUAAUCCAGGACUCCCUCAGUAGCCCCUGAACCAGGCUUCAAUGACGAUGAGUCCGGCGCGCAGUAUUGUCUUCGGCAUUGCAAGGCGGGUUCCUUCUCCGAAUACAUCACAGAAGAAUUUAAAUACGAGGAUAGUGUCCGACCCUGCAAAAUAAGUUCCACAUUCCACCGUAGAGAGAAUAAUAUUUCCGCAGAUCUAAUUUGUUGGCUUGUUUUGGCAGCAUGACGUUACGUCAUGGCCCGGUGAUUAUUCGAACCGUUUCUCUUAACCAGCCCCGCACAUAACGCGAGGCAGUUUUUCGACCCGUCUUGUCAAAGCAGAGAUCGUGUCCCCUUAUUACGGGAUUCUCAUCAAUACGUCCAUGGGUAACCCAACCGCGCCAUCAAUUGCGGCGCUUGGGGGAUAAGCGAGUUUUACCAGGCAAGUGGGGACGCUUAGUUUCGUUCGCCCAUAUAAAGGGUUGGAUUCACCUUUCUAUCCAUGCCUUCUUCCUCCUUUGCUCAUCUGUUCUUGCACACUCGAGCUCUAGCGCCCAAGUCCGCACUUCCCACCUCGACCUUCUCCAAUCAUGUCCGGAGCGGGAGGCAUGUGGAUGAUCUCCUCCAUCACGGAGGGAGACAUCAAGAAACUGAGGAGAGCCGGAUACCUGCCCGACGACAUCGUGCACCGGCUCCUAGAUGAGGGGCAGCUCAUCCCCGCUCCCAGGCCCCAUGAGAGGGUAGUAUUCCUCCACCACUUCCUCCGCGGACUAGGGUUUCCCCUCCAUCCAUUCGUCCAUGGUCUCAUGUUCUACUACGGGCUAGACUGUCAUGAUCUGGCCCCGAACUUCAUCUCAACAUUUCGGCGUUCAUCGUCAUGUUGAGGUUUUCCUCCACAUCCGGCCCCACUUCGGCCUGUGGUUAAAGACCUUCAAUAUUAAGCCGAAGGUGGUAUGAGGCCAACAAGCAGAAUGCGACGGAGCCAUGGUGGGUAAGAUGCCCAAUGUCAUAUGGCUCGAAGGCUCCUUCGUGGAGACAAUAAAGGGAUGGCAGUCGGCGUGGUUCUACAUCACCGAGCCGCGCGACGCCAAAUGGGCGACAGCCCCUGAGUUCCGAUCCGGAUUCCCUACACGGCUCACUUCUUGGAAAGAGAAGGGAUUGUCGUGGGGUUCAUCGGUGGAGCUGGACGGACUCCAGAAAUGCAUCCAGAGUAUGGCAAGCAAGAAGCUCAAGCUUGUCAACAUAGUCCAAGUUAUGCUCAUCCGCCGGAUCCUCCCGUGUCAACAAUGGGAUUUUACCUUAUGGGAGUUCGACCCGGCCCAGCACUCGACUCUGAGCGAGCUCUUUGAUACGACGCACAAGGACGUCUGGAAGGUGUUGUUCAAGGGCGCCGAGAUCCCUCCUUCUCUCGCCGAGGACCGCGGACUAAGCGCAAAGCGCCUAGCGCGUUCGGUGAGUUUAAUAUGUCCCGUAAGACAUUUAUUUUCCCCAGCUUAAUUAUGUGCGGGGUCUAAUCUCCAUGCCUUUGAUAGGACUGGGUGGAGAUGGCGGGGCAGAUUAACUGUCCGGCUCCUUUGCCCGAAGACACUGCGAGUGCUCUCCUGACGGAGAUGCUGGCUCCGGCUCCUUACAAGGUGCAGGAGAAGACCAAGAAGGCCAAGGGAGCCUGAAAGAGUUCUCAACGCCAGGUGUUAUCAGACUCAUCGUCCGAUAACUCUGCGGCACACUCUUCCCCUGAAGACGAGGAGGAAGAAGAAGAUGCUCCCCCUCCAGGCGGGGGAGACAAGAAAAGGAAGGCCGCCCCAACUGGGGAGGCCAAAGGGUCCAAGAAGGGGAGGACUCUCCUUCCGGACAGUUCCACCGCCGCCGACGAGGGCGAGGACGAGUGGUUGCCCCGGGCCAAGCCCCCCGGGAGAUCGUAAGUAUUCGGAUAACAGAGUAACUCAUAGCAUUCUUUUGCUGCACUGCUUUCCCUAACGCCGAAUAUGAUUAUGCAGGCCGCCGCGAACCAGCAUUGAUGUAUCAUCGGACGGCUCACUGGGCUCGUCGGAUAUGGAUAGCGAUCCAGUCCCGACCGCCACCUCCCCUCAUCCUGUUGACGACGCCGAGGUGGUGUCUCAAAAGGCACCGGGUCGAGGGGAGACAGUCCUGGAGGCGCCUCAAGGCGACCUUCUGGACUCCGGGAGCCGCGGGGAUGGGGUGAUAGAGGCUAAGGUGUCCCGAUGUUUCGAUGAGAUGGUGGCUAUCGUUUUCUGUGGGAGUCGACCUUGACGAUCCAACUACGAACGUGCGAGACAUCGCGCCUUAGCAAUCACUAAACCAACUUCCGAGGGUUAUUGACCACGCCGGAGCAACGAUCAACCUGACCACGAGGGUCUGUUUCCUGCGAGCAAACGAAGAACAAGCAAGAAACUGAGAUUGCAAUCGGGAUAUUGCGAAUAUAAGAUGAAAGCUUUAUUGAUCAAGGUGGGGUUCUGUGACGUCUUGGUCUGGUCGUUGGACACAAACGAAGCACGCGAAGUUGCAGCUAUGGCGAACUUUUAAUCUAAACAAAACCCAAAGUCUAAACGACGCCCUAAGGGCUGUAUAUAUGGAGGAAGAGGGGGGAAUUUCGUGUCCCUUGAGGGUGGGGUCCGAAACCAACCCUAACUCUUGUUUCCCCACACAUACGGACUCUAAAAAUAGCCUAUACUUAAAUAUUUCGAAAUUACAUGGGCCUGGCCCAUUAAUAAGGUGACGCAGCACCUAGAAUAGUCUAUGGACGAAUAUUAUGAAGUGGCAUCUUGUAUAUUUCGUCCAAGACUUCAUGCACUCCUUAUGGCGGCUUCAAAGUCCUGAAAUCAUCACUUGUAGCUCCGUUCUUGAUCCCCUUGCGCAUGCCAUCAACUCCAUGCGUGUUCUUGCUCCAAUGUUCAUCCUUCUCCAAGCUAGGCCCUUCAUUUGUAAGCAAAACAAAUGUAUCCAAUUUAGGCAGCAUCAUAAUCUCAUGAACAUUAGAAUCAUUACCAAGAAACGAAAGUACCUGGUAAUUUAAUUGGCGUGCGCGAGCUCUAGUAAUUGGUCCAGUAUAUGUAACAGUAGGGGCUGUGGGUGUAACAAUGGUAUUGAUGUCCUCAUCAUCCUCCCCUUCUUGAAAUGAAGUCGUCCUCGACGGAAGCGCAUCUUCCUCACCCAAAUAAGGCUUCAAAUCUGCAAUGUUAAAAGUGGGACUAACCCCAAAAUCUACAGUUAGCUCAAGUUUAUAUGCAUGAUCAUUUAUUUUCUCUAACACCUUAAAAGGACCAUCAACACGUGGCACUAGCUUUGAUUUGCGCAGAUUAGGAAAUCUAUCUUUACGCAAAUGUAACCAAACAAGAUCUCCAGGCGCAAACACAACAUGUUUUCUACCCUUAUCUCCAGCAAGUUUAUAUUUAGCAUUCAUACGCUCAAUGUUUUCCUUAGUUAACUCAUGCAUUUUUAAAAUCAAUUCAGAACGUUCUUUAGCAUCAAAAUUAACCUUCUCUGAAGAUGGAAGAGGCAACAAAUCAAUAGGUGCACGAGGUAGGAAACCAUACACAAUUUCAAAAGGGCACAUCUUAGUAGUAGAAUGCAAUGAACGAUUAUAAGCAAAUUCAAUAUAGGCAAGCAUUCUUCCCACAUUUUCUUGUUAUUCUUCAAAACAGCCCUAAGCAUAGUAGACAAUGUUCUAUUGAUUACUUCAGUUUGUCCAUCAGUUUGGGGGUGACAAGUAGUACUAAAAAGCAGCUUAGUCCCCAACUUAGCCCAUAAACAUCUCCAAAAGUGGCUAAGAAAUUUAGUAUCACGAUCUGAAACAAUAGUAUUUGGCACACCAUGUAAGCGAAUAAUUUCACGAAAGGACAAAUCAGCAACAUUAACAGCAUCAUCGCUUUUAUGACAUGGUAUAAAGUGUGCCAUUUUCGAGAACCUAUCCACGACAACAAAUAUGCUAUCCCUCCCCUUCUUUGUUCGAGGUAAACCUAAAACAAAGUCCAUAGAUAUAUCCUCCGAAGGAACAAUAGUUACAGGCAAAGGCAUAUAUAAACCAUGAGGAUUGAGUCGUGACUUAGCUCUUUGACAUGUAGUGCAGCGAGCAACAAAACGCUCAACAUCCCGUCUCAUCUUUGGCCAAAAUAAAUGUGUAGCAAGUAUAUCCUCCGUCUUCUUGACGCCAAAGUGUCCCAUUAAUCCUCCUCCAUGCGCCUCCUGCAACAACAAAAGAUGAACGGAGCUAGCUGGAAUGCAUAGCUUGUUAGCACGAAACACAAAUCCAUCGUUAAGAACGACCUUGUUCCAAGUUCUCCCUUCCUUACAAUUCUGCAAUACAUCUUUAAAUUCAGCAUCAUGAACAUACUGAUCUUUGAUGGUCUCCAAACCAAAUAUUUUAAAGUCAAGUUGUGAAAGCAUAGUAUAACGACGAGACAAGGCAUCAGCAAUAACAUUUUCUUUACCCUUCUUGUGUUUAAUGACAUAAGGGAAAGUCUCAAUGAAUUCAACCCAUUUAGCAUGUCUAUGGUUCAGUUUUGCUUGACUUUUAAUGUGUUUCAAAGAUUCAUGAUCAGAAUGUAUAACAAAUUCCUUGGGCCAUAAAUAAUGUUGCCAUGUUUCUAAGGUCCGAACAAGAGCAUAUAAUUCUUUAUCAUAAGUAGAAUAGUUCAGACUAGGCCCACUCAAUUUUUCAGAAAAGUAUGCAACAGGUUUUCCAUCUUGUAAUAACACACCUCCUAAUCCAAUUCCACUAGCAUCACAUUCAAGCGCAAAAGUCUUAUUGAAAUUAGGAAGUUGGAGUAAAGGAGCAUGUGUCAACUUAUCUUUCAAUACCGUGAAGGCUUCUUCGUGUGCGAUACCCCAAACAAAAGGCACAUCCUUCUUUGUAAGCUCGUUGAGAGGUGCAGCAAUGGUGCUGAAAUCUCUCACAAAACGCCUAUAGAAACCAGCGAGGCCAAGGAAACUCCUCACUUGUGUGACCAUUUUGGGCUGCGGCCAACUCUCAAUAGCUUCAAUCUUGGCUUUAUCAACUUCAAUUCCCUGUGGAGUAACAACAUAGCCAAGAAAAGAUACUCGGUCGGUGCAAAAGGUGCACUUUCCAAGGUUUCCAAACAAACGUGCAUCACGUAGAGCAAUAAAGACAGCACGUAAAUGUUCCAAAUGUUCCUCCAAAGAUUUGCUAUAAAUCAAUAUGUCAUCAAAGUAAACUACCACAAAUCGUCCAAUGAAAGCACGUAAAACUUCGUUCAUUAACCUCAUGAAAGUAUUAGGUGCAUUAGUUAACCCAAAAGGCAUGACUAACUACUCAUAUAAUCCAAACUUAGUUUUAAAUGCUGUUUUCCAUUCAUCUCCCAAUUUCAUACGAAUUUGAUGGUAUCCACUACGCAAAUCAACUUUGGAGAAUAUUGUAGAGCCACUCAAUUCAUCAAGCAUAUCAUCUAGCCUAGGAAUAGGAUGACGAUAACGAAUAGUAAUAUUAUUUAUGCCUCUACAAUCAACGCACAUAUGCGACGUACCAUCCUUUUUCGGCACUAAAAUGAUAGGAACAGCACAAGGACUAAGGGAUUCGCGUAUAUAACCUUUGUCGAGCAGUUCUUGUACUUGACGCAUAAUCUCCUUCGUCUCCUCUGGAUUGGUACGGUAUGGUGCACGGUUGGGUAGCGAAGCACCGGGAAUUAAGUCAAUUUGAUGCUCAAUCCCUCGAAUAGGUGGUAAUCCCGGUGGCACGUCUUGUGGAAAGACGUCAGCGAACUCCUGCAAAAUGUUAGUGACAGCAGGGGCAAAGAGGAAGGCACGUCCUCGAAUGAAAAUAAUGCCUCUUUGCACACAAAAGCAUAGCAAACAGAUUUGCUGAAAUCUAGCUCAUCAAUAUCAGAUUUGGUGGCAAGUAAACAUGCACUUUUCAAUUUAAUUUCAGAAACAACAGUAGAUGGUUUAUUAUUAGGCUUCAUUUGGUGCUCAAAUUCUUUUGCCACAAUCUGAUUUUCACUCUUAUUUGUCUCCUAUUUUGCUUUAUUAGCUCUAUUAAUAUCAUCUUUCAAAAUGGAAUCAGGAGUCAUAGGAAGCAAAGUAAUAUUUUUAUCGUUAUGAACAAGAGUAUACUGAUUGUUUCUACCAUGGUGUACAGAAUUUUUUAUCAAAUUGCCAUGGUCUACCAAGUAAUAAGGAACAUGCUUGCAUAGGUACCACAUCACAAUCAACAUAAUCAUCAUAUGUAGAGAUACUAAAAUGCACACGAACAGUACGUGUUACCUUAACCUUGCCGUUGUUGUUGAACCAUUGGAUGUAGUAAGGAUGUGGAUGUGGUCUUGUGGUGAGAGAUAGCUUCUCAACCAUCUCCAUGCUAGCCAAGUUAUUGCAGCUCCCUCCAUCUAUGAUCACGCGAACAGAACGUUCCUUCACAACUCCCUUUGUAUGGAACAAAUUAUGCCUCUGAUUUUGCUCAGCUUGUGUAACCUGCACACUCAAAACACGUUGAGCAACUAAACAUUCAUACCUGUCAGCAUCUUCAGGAGCCAUGUAUUGCGUCUCAUGAUCAGAAUCGUCUCCACCGUGUUCGUCACGUGUAAUAAGAGCCAAAGUCUCCUCAUCAUAGUCACUAGCGGACUCAUACCCACCAUCCUCAGUAACAAUCAUCACACGCUUAGAUGGGCAUUCUCUCGCAUAAUGACCUCCACCCUUGCAACGUCGACAAAUAAUAUCAUGUGUUUGCCCUGUUGAUGCCAUGGAUGAAGACGAGCUCUUUGCAGGCCCAGAAGGUGUGCUCUUGGCAGAUAGUGGUGAUUGUGCUUGCUUUAUUGUAUCACGGUUGGAGGUGGCGGCCGAUGGAGGUGCCGGUGUAGCAGAACGUGUGGAAGUAGAUGAUGCACGUGGUGUCCAUGAUGAAGGUCGACCUGCAGAAAAGUUAGUCCGCGCCAAUGCCUGUCGAUCCUGCACUUCACGUUCAGCUUUACAAGCAAGAUGGAAUAAACGAGUGAUAUUAGUAUACUCCUUAUACUCUAGAAUCGUCUGAAUCUCUCUAUUUAAUCCACCCAUAAAACGUGCAAGCAUAGCUUCAUUCUCCUCAACAAUACCACAUCUAAUCAUGCCAGUUUGUAAUUCCUGAUAAUAUUCUUCUACAGAAUUUUUUUCUUGUCUUAAGCGCUGCAAUUUUUGAAGUAAUUCACGUUGAUAAUAUGGUGGAACCCAACAAGUACGCAUAGCAGUUUUCAAAGCAGCCCAAGUAGCCGGAAUAGGAUAUAAUCUACAAUGCUCAGACCACCAAACACAUGCAAAACUAGUGAAUGCACAAACAGCAGCAGGAACACGUCUCUCCUCGGGAUAUUGUAAACAUGUAAAUCGUUGUUCAGUUUCUAACUCCCAAGUAAAAUAUAUAUCAGGAACAUAUCUACCCUCAAAUGGUGGAAUAUUCAAUUUUAGUUUAGGGAGAUGGUCAUGAUCUCGUACCUGAGGGUGAGCCCUACCAUUGCCAUUAUUUGCAUGUGGACGACCUGGUGGUUGCUGUGCUGGUGGUGGCACGUAGUUCUGAUUUUGAUCAACCUCAUCCUCAUAAUCUCCCACAUAAUCAUCCCGCUCCACAUCAGCAGUAGGAGCCAUAGAAGUAUCAACAGCAGCACCAGCAGUUUGGCCCGACUGAAGAGGGACACGGCUCGCUCGGCGGAGGGCUGUUUCCCGAGGUGGAGGUAGUCGGUGUUGUUGCUGUUUUUGUAGAGGUGCGGCAGGAGCAGCCGGUGGUGGUGGUGGAAAACGCGAAAGCAAUUCAGCAAACUUGUUAUCGAGCUUUGUUUCAAACGUCUUCUCCAUGCCAUCUAUCUUCUCCAUGGCCUCUUCAAAUCUGUUUAUCACAUCUUGCACCUGUACACUCAUCAUUUGCUGAAACGUAUCAUGAAGCUCCUUGUUCGUCAAGUUCUCCCAGUCAGUCUCGUCGGAUUGUGAUCCUGGCAUGGUUAGCAGCAAUAGAAACACACAAGAAUAUGAUCCUACAGACUACUAACAAGUGGUGGCGGUGGCGGGUGUCACAAAUCCGUCAAGCAAAUCUCAAAUUCUUACCAGUUCUUACCCAGCAGCAGGCGGUGAUCGGCAACCGUUAUAGUCAAAACUCUCAAAAGCUUGGAUAGAGCGAUUGCCAGGGAGAGUCAAACGCACGACGUAGAUGUAUGUGGAGCUGGGAAGGCUUAUAGUAUGGUAGCAAAAAGGGUCAGCAAUAAUCAAUUCAGAGAUGCAAAGUUGAAUAAACGCUCAAUGACGGUACUGUGCUGGUCCUAGGCUAGACCGUGCUAGAGACGCGAGCCUAGAACACUAACAAAAUCAUGGCGGUGCACGUAAAUAAGGGAAAAGCACACUGUGGAACUAUUUUUUUUUCGCUCUUUUUUUUGCGCUCCUUUUUUUUGCGCUCCUCUUUUUUUGCGAAAAAUCACUAUAAUGGCGAGUGUCUCAAAACUCUUCCCUCGUCAAACUGAUAGGAUGGGCAUGAAUUUUUUUUCACUUUUUUUCGGAAAUCAGGCCAGCGACGACGAAAAAGUGCGACAAAAAAAUCACUAUGAUGGCACGUGGCUCAAAAGACUCAGAAAAGCCUAAAAAUAGGAUAGGGAAAUUUUUUUUUGCCCGUGAAAAUUUUGGCCUAAAAACUGCCCGGGGGUCUCCAGACUCUUUUUUUUUCGAGACCUACGCAGGCAAGGAAACACGAAUCGGAAUUUAGAUUGAUCUCAAGAACAAACCUAAUAUGAGAAGAACUCGGAUUGGUGGUGGAUAUAUGGUUGUGGUAUAUGGCAGCGGUGGUGGUAUAUGGUAGCGGUGGUGGUAUAUGGAUACAAAUUGGUGGUGGUAUAUGGAUACGGAUUGGUGGUGGUAUAUGGAUAUUGAUUCAGAGCGGUGGCGGAGAAGCAAAAGUGGUAGAUGGGCGAUGAUGAUGGUGCGGCGGCGACGUGACAACUUAUGACCAGAACUCGAAACUCUAAAAGACUAGACUCUAAGACCAGCAACUUGACAUGACGAUGCAACCGCAAAUUCAACAAAGCAAAAACCCUAAAAAGAUUAUGCGAAGGCUCAGAUUGGUUCGGAUAUGAUGAACUAACCCUAAUUUUUUUGUGGCUUUUUCGUGAACUGUAGGUAUGAAUAACAGACUCGAUCUAAUCUACGAAAAACUAUAAAAUCUCACCGAGCAACCUGGAAAUCUGAUACCACUUGAUAGAGGCUAAGGUGUCCCGAUGUUUCGAUGAGAUGGUGGCUAUCGUUUUCUGUGGGAGUCGACCUUGACGAUCCGACUACGAACAUGCGAGAUGUCGCGCCUUAGCAAUCACUAAACCAACUUCCGAGGGUUAUUGACCACACCGGAGCAACGAUCAACCUGACCACGAGGGUCUGUUUCCUGCGAGCAAACGAAGAACAAGCAAGAAACUGAGAUUGCAAUCGGGAUAUUGCGAAUAUAAGAUGAAAGCUUUAUUGAUCAAGGUGGGGUUCUGUGACGUCUUGGUCUGGUCGUUGGACACAAACGAAGUACGCGAAGUUGCAGCUAUGGCGAACUUUUAAUCUAAACAAAACCCAAAGUCUAAAUGACGCCCUAAGGGCUGUAUAUAUGGAGGAAGAGGGGGGAAUUUCGUGGCCCUUGAGGGUGGGGUCCGAAACCAACCCUAACUCUUGUUUCCCCACACAUACGGACUCUAAAAAUAGCCUAUACUUAAAUAUUUCGAAAUUACAUGGGCCUGGCCCAUUAAUAAGGUGACGCAACACCUAGAAUAGCCUAUGACGAAUAUUAUGAAGUGGCAUCUUGUAUAUUUCAUCCAAGGCUUCAUGCACUCCUUAUGGCGGCUUCAAAGUCCUGAAAUCAUCACUUGUAACUCCGUUCUUGAUCCCCUUGCGCAUGCCAUCAACUCCAUGCGUGUUCUUGCUCCAAUGUUCAUCCUUCUCCAAGCUAGGCCCUUCAUAUGUAAGCAAAACAAAUGUAUCCAAUUUAGGCAGCAUCAUAAUCUCAUGAACAUUAGAAUCAUUACCAAGAAACGAAAGUACCUGGUAAUUUAAUUGGCGUGCGUGAGCUCUAGUAAUUGGUCCAGUAUACGUAACAGUAGGGGCUGUGGGUGUAACAAUGGUAUUGAUGUCCUCAUCAUGGGGCCCCCGAGAGCUUCGAGUUCGGCGCUCAGCCGAACACCGCGCCGGACCCUCCAGCGGUUCCAGGCUUGGACAGGCGGCCUCCUUCUAAGAGGGGCAAGACGCCUAUGCCGGUGACCUCUGUCCAUCCAGAGGCGCCGGACAAUCUGCUGGAAGCGCUUCACAGCGCUUCCAUCGACGAGGAGCACCGCACUAUCAUGAGUGCGGUGAUCCAGAAGGUUCAGUCCGCCAAGAGAGGAUUGACUGAAGCUUGUGACAGCCUUCUAACAGGCUUCGAGGUAAGUGUUUUAAAAUGUAGUAGAAAUAUUACUGCAUAGACAGUAGCCCCUGAUGCUUUGUUCGGUGUUCAUAAAGAAAAGACGAACAGAGGAUCAAAUAAUAUUGCAGGAGUCUAAUAUAAGUGAGUCAAUAUGCAUAUGCAGGCUUCCGCCGCACUGACUGUGGAGGUCGCUGUACUGAAGCAGUCCCUCGAGGGGUCCCGGACGGAGCUCAGCCUUGCCAAGAGGCAGCUCGAGGAGAACAAGGGUAAGUAAUACCCUGUCUAUAGAUGUAUAUAUAUAUAUAAAGGACGCGAUUGCAAAAUGACAGGAUCAUUGUAUGUGUGCUAGGGGCCACGACCGAGGUGGCGACCCUGAAGCAAGCGCUAGCCCAGGCCGAAGAGAAAGCGGCCCAGGAGCGCACCGAGUGAGAGAAGCACGAGGCUCGGGUGCGCGAGGUGGAGCAAGAGCUCCAGGCUCUCGUGAUGAAGCACGAGGCGUUGGAGCUUGACUCGAAGACGCGAGAGUCUGAGCUUGCCGCGGCCCUUGAGAGCGCAAAGAGUGCCAAGGCCGAGGCCCAAAAGGCCAUCCAAGAGAUCAACACGAUGAAGAAGAUAGCGGCGGGUAAGGCUUUCUAUAUGCAAAGCAAGCAUGUAAAAGUAAAUUACCGAUUACUUACCCGAAUCCGGAGCUCUUCAGGAGCAUUCGCAGCUUUUCCCCGCAGUGUGUCCGAUGCCACACAAUUUUACCAAGCCGAGGACGGAAGCUCGACGAAGAAGUUGUUCUGGUCUCAGUAUGCGGAGGCCAAACAUCCGGUGCCAAUGAGGGACCAGCUGAAGCAGAUGGUCGAGCUACAUAAGGCGGCCGAUCAGGCCAUGAAGAGCUUCAUAGUCCGGCUGUGGCCUGGCGACGCCCUUCCGAACAGCUUCUUCAGCCUGGUGAGGCGGCUUGUGGAUGCCUGCCCGCGGCUGGAGGUCGUCAAGCGAUCCGUCUGCAUUGAAGGUGCACGCCGGGCUUUCGCCCGUGUGAAAUUGCAAUGGGUCAAGCUAGACACCGUGAAGCUGAUCAAGGAUGGGCCGCCAGAUGGCAAGGAGCACCGCCACCCCGAGAUGUACUACGAGGGUGUUCUGUCGGGUGCCCGUCUCAUCGCGGAUGAGUGCUCAAAAGAUGUAAUAUUUGAGUAAACUUGCUCGUUUUAUCCUGUAUUAUGAAAACUUGUUUCAUAUGUGCUAUGCAAUGCUUGUUUGAAUUUAAAAUAUUACUUUCGGCUGUUUAUCCAAUCUGAGAGAUGGCUAGUCCUCGGCUUCUGCCCCCAUGCCACGAGUGCUGGGGUGUUUGGGAUAAACCUGAGCACUCUUGUUCCCAUAUUUGGGUCCUUCGAGGGAGGUGCUCAGCGCAAUGAACAAGGCAACCAGACUAAUAAUGCUUUAUCACUCUCACUUAGCCAUAAAAUUCUAUAAUUUUAAAUUUCGGCGAAGCCCUUGGUAUUCGGAAGGCCGAAUACGGGGCGCGAUACACGCCUGCAAGCCGGACAGGGCCGGCCCUUCGCCCUAAGUGGCAUAAGUCUUUAGGGACUUGAAAAACCUCGCCGAACAGCGACCAGUCUCUCGCCUUAUCAUGACAGUCAGUUUUAGCUUUCUCUACUGAGGUGCUCAGCCCGGCAGAACCGGGGCACAAUCACAGUAGUUCUCCUAGCGCUACCUUAGCCGAUGGAGCGGAACGUAAGGUACCAAAACAUAGGAGCCGGGCAAACCCAACAUUUGACCAAAGACAUGAUUCGGAGCUAAUGCAUAUAAUGCUAUAAGUUCGGGGUGCCGCACUUGUGAAAGUGUUUGGACUUUUCACACCGCAUUGUGGGGUAUGUAAGCCCCUGGUGUAUUAGCCGUACCAUAGUGUACGGUUGCAAGGCGUCAUUAAUGAACACACACACACAUAUAUAUAUAUAACAAGAAUGCAAUAAUAGUCGUAAUGUCAUGCAUUAUUUAUUAAAAAGUUGCGUUAAAGCAGAGUGAUACAGAUAGUGCGAUAAGAAAAGAGUAGGACUUUGUCCCUUCCAAGGGCAAGCUGAGGAAGGAUAUUAAAUUGAAUAUUUCACUCGUUCACUAUAAUCAACCUGGGAAUUCCGUGAUAUAACGUAGCUGUCUGCCUCUUUGGUUGCUGCAUCAUGUGUUCGGCAAUAGUGCUGCCGGACAGUGUUUCCAGAGAUUAAGGUCCUGAAAGAAGAAAGAAAAAUAACCAAACGGGAAGCCCCUAGUGCGGUUUAAGCCGCGUUUUGGGGCUUGCCGCAGUUGUGCCCCCCUCCCCACCUGUGCCCAUGGUACUUUUAAUGCGUAAUUAUGUACGCGCGACAUGAAUAUCGCCGUUGGGCUGGGAUUGGGGUGGCUGCUGUAUUGCUACGCGAGCUCAGAUCGAGCCAGGCGGUCUAUUUGCCGAUUGCCCCGAGCGCGCUUGAAGGUGUCCGGGUUUUGAAGCACCGAACUGGUUGAUUGCCUUGAGAGGCUGCUUUGCGCUUCUGCUGCGAGGGCCGCGGUGUGCUCCUUUGUUCGGAGAGAGCGCUCUGUGAUUCCAAUGACUAUAAUAACUCCGCGAGGUCCUGGCAUCUUGAGCUUGAGGUAUGCAUAAUGCGGUACCACAUUGAAUCUAGAAAAUGCGGUUCGCCCGAGCAGCGCGUGAUAACCACUGCGGAACGGGACUAUAUCGAAGAUUAACUCUUCGCUUCAGAAGUUAUCCGAGGAUCCGAAGACCACUUCCAGUGUAAUUGAGCCUGUGCAAUGGGCCUCUACACCUGGAAUGACACCCUUAAAGGUCAUUUUUGUGGGUUUGAUCCUUGAGGGGUCUAUACACAUUUUGCACACUGUGUCCUGAUAAAGCAGGUUCAGGCCGCCGCCGCCGUCCAUGAGGACUCCAGUGAGGUGAAAUCCGUCAAUGAUUGGGUCUCGGACCAGUGCGGCGAAUCCGCCAUGAUGGAUACUAGUGGGGUGGUCCCUGCGAUCGAAGGUGAUCCGACAGGAGGACCAAGGGUUGAACUUUGGGUCGACUGGCUCCAACGCAUAUACGUCCUUGAGCGCACGCUUCUCCUCCCUCUUGGGGAUGUGGGUUGCGUAUAUCAUGUUCACCAUCCGCACUUGCGGGGGAAACCUCUUCUGUCCUCUAGUGUGGGGCUGCCGGGGCUCCUCCUCGUCAUCGCUAUGCGGCCCCUUGUCCUUGUUUUCAGCAAUUAACUUGCCAGCCUUCUUGAACACCCAACAAUCCCUCUUGGUGUGAUUGGCGGGCUUGUUUGGGGUGCCGUGUAUUUGACACAAGCGAUCGAGUAUACGGUCCAAGCUGGACGGACCCGGCGUACUUUGUUUGAAUGACUUUUUCCGCUGACCGGGUUUAGAGCCUUUGAAUCCGGCAUUGACUGCCGUAUCCUCAGUAUUUUCGCUGUUAAUGCGGCGCUUAUGCUUGUUGCGACGUGACCUGCUAUUGCCGUCCUUGGUAUCUGAGGUACCAUGGUUCUUUGACAUGUUAUUACUGCGAGUCAGCCAACUGUCUUCUCCCACACAAAAAGUGGGUCAUGAGCGUCAUGAGAGCUGCCAUAGAUUUCGGCUUUUCCUGACCAAGGUGCCGGGCUAGCCACUCGUCUCGGAUAUUAUGCUUGAAAGCCGCUAAGGCCUCCGCAUCCGGACAGUCGACGAUUUGAUUUUUCUUAGUAAGGAACCGAGUCCAGAAUUGCCUAACUGAUUCUUCUGGCUGCUGAAUUAUGUGGCUCAAGUCAUCGGCGUCUGGUGGUCGCACAUAAGUGCCCUGAAAGUUGUCAAGGAAUGCGGCUUCCAGAUCUUCCCAACAGCUAAUGGAGUCCGCUGGCAAGCUGUUAAGCCAAUGCCGUGCUGGUCCAUUGAGCUUUAGUGGGAGGUAUUUAAUGGCGUGUAAGUCAUCGCCGCGGGCCAUGUGGAUGUGGAGGAGGAAGUCCUCAAUCCAUACCGCGGGAUCUGCUGUGCCGUUGUAUGAUUCAAUAUUUACAGGUUUGAAACCUUCUGGGAAUUGAUGUUCCAUUACUUCGUCUAUGAAGCAUAAGGGGUGUGCGGCGCCUCUGUAUUGGGCUAUAUCUCGAUGCAGCUCGAAUGGGUCUUGCCCGCUGUGUUCGGCCUGGCCGGAUUUGCUUUUACUAUAUCCGACGUGACAUUUGUCGUCUCGCAGAGUGGUGCACCCUCGUGAUCCGUAGAUCGAUCUUGAAUGCUUUGCCUUGUCCUCCAAUAUGUCUCGCAGGUCUGGCAUAUCUCCCCAUGCCUUUUUAUUUGAAUGGCAUUGGGGUGAAGUCUGAGCUUUUGGUUGGAAUGCCUCUCUAUCGCGGCCACGAGGUGGCCGAUCAGCCAUAUCAUACGCUUCUUCCUCCAGUCGGGGUAUUAACCUGUGCCUUGGGUAACUCUUGGAGGGGCGCUCGAGUUUAUAUUCCUCGGCCGCGAGGACUUCAAUCCAUUUCUCAGCUAGCAGAUCUUGAUCAGCUUGAAGCUGCUGCUGCUUUUUCUUUAGGCUAUUUGCCGUGGCCAUAAGCCGACGCUUGAACCGCUCUUGUUCGACGGAUCCUCUGGGACGGCGAAUUCGUCGUCGCCGAGGCUUGCCUCGUCUUCGGAGGGGGGGGGAUGUAAUUGUCAUCCUCCUCUUCUCCGUCUGCCGCUCUCUCAGGAGAGCUGGCUCCUUCAUCCUCCUGCUCUAAAUCUUGCUGGAGGGGUUUGUUGUUUUCUUCGGCGCUAUCCGGAGUGUUAUUAUCUCCUGUGCCGGUAUCACCACUUUUGCUUUGGCGGGACUUAGAACAGCGCCGCUGACGUUGGCGUUUGGGUUGCUUCUUGGAGGGGUCAUCCUCCGCUAUCCCGUCGCCAUUGCCUACUUUGGGUGUAUCCACCAUGUAUAUGUCAUAUGACAAGGUGGCUUUCCAGUGCCCUAUAGGUGCUGGUUCAUGUUCGUCUCCUACAUCGCCGUCUAUACCGUCAAUGUCUUCGAAGUCGAAGUCGAGCAUGUCGGUUAAAUCAUCGAUAGUGGCUACGAAGUGGGUGGUGGGUGGGCGUCGAAUUUCUUUGUCAUCCGCAUCCCAAUCCUAUUGGCCAUAAUCCGGCCAGGGCUCUCCUGACAAAGAGAGAGACCUUAGUGAAUUCAGAAUGUCGCCGAGGGGCGAGUGCUGAAAGAUAUCCGCGGUGGUGAAUUCCAUGAUCGACGCCUAAUCAGAUUCGAUUGGCAGGUGCGCAGAUGGUUCGGAGUCCGGAAAAGAGUCCGACACCUUGGAGUCACGGGCUACACAGAGGUUUAGGCUGGUGUUCGGCUCGAUCGACGUUGAGACUGCAGCCCCUGAGGCGGUGUCUAACCACCUGUCCUCAACUGGCGCAGUUGCUUCCGAGCUGAGAGUCAGAGCUGAUGCGGGCGCAGCCUCUGGGGUACUGUUCGGUGGCAGAGCUAGGUCAUACCCAUCGCGACAGUGCGGCGCGCCCGGCUGCGGCUCAAAUCCGUCGAAGAUCAAGUCUCCACGGAUGUCGGCCGUGUAGUUCAAACUUCCAAAUCUGACCUGAUGGCCAGGGGUGUAGCUUUCAAUCUCCUCCAGAUGGCCAAGCGAAUUAGCCCGCAGUGCAAAGCCGCCGAAUACGAAGAUCUGUCCGGGGAGAAAAGUCUCACCCUGGACCGCAUCGCUAUCGAUGAUAAUAGGAGCCAUCAAGCCUAACGGCGACGACAUAGAGGAACUCUCACUGAAAUCACCAAUGUCGGUGUCAAAACCGGCGGAUCUCGGGUAGGGGGUCCCGAACUGUGCAUCUAGGUCGGAUGGUAACAGGAGGCAGGGGACACGAUGUUUUACCCAGGUUCGGGCCUUCUUGAUGGAGGUAAACCCUACGUCCUGCUUGAUUAAUAUUGAUGAUAUGGGUAGUACAAGAGUAGAUCUACCACAAGAUCAGAGAGGCUAAACCCUAGAAGCUAGCCUAUGGUAUGAUUGUAUGUUAUGGUUGUUGUCCUACGGACUAAAACCCGUCGGUUUAUAUAGACAUAGGAGAGGGUUAGGGUUACACAAGGUCGGUUACAAAGGAGGAGAUAUCCAUAUCCGUAUUGCCUAGCUUGCCUUCCACGCCAAGUAGAGUCCCACCCGGACACGAGACGAAGUCUUCAAUCUUGUAUCUUUAUAGUCUAACAGUCCGACCAAUGGAGAUAGUCCGGCUGUCCGGAGACCCCCUAAUCCAAGACUCCCUCAGUAGCCCCUGAACCAGGCUUCAAUGACGAUGAGUCCGGCGCGCAGUAUUGUCUUCGGCAUUGCAAGGCGGGUUCCUUCUCCGAAUACAUCACAGAAGAAUUUAAAUAUGAGGAUAGUGUCCGACCCUGCAAAAUAAGUUCCACAUUCCACCGUAGAGAGAAUAAUAUUUCCGCAGAUCUAAUUUGCUGGCUUGUUUUGGCAGCAUGACGUUACGUCAUGGCCCGGUGAUUAUUCGAACCAUUUCUCUUAACCAGCCCCGCACAUAACGCGAGGCAGUUUUUCGACACGUCUUGUCAAAGCAGAGAUCGUGUCCCCUUAUUACGGGAUUCUCAUCAAUACGGGCAUGGGUAACCCAACCGUGCCAUCAAUUGCGGCGCUUGGGGGAUAAGUGAGUUUUACUAGGCAAGUGGGGACGCUUAGUUUCGUUCGCCCAUAUAAAGGGAUAAGGAUUCACCUUUCUAUCCAUGCCUUCUUCCUCCUUUGCUCAUCCGUUCUUGCACACUCGAGCUCUAGCGCCCAAGUCCGCACUUCCCACCUCGACCUUCUCCAAUCAUGUCCGGAGCGGGAGGCAAGUGGAUGGUCUCCUCCAUCACGGAGGGAGACAUCAAGAAACUGAGGAGAGCCGGAUACCUGCCCGACGACAUCGCGCACUGGCUCCUAGAUGAGGGGCAGCUCAUCCCCACUCCUAGGCCCCAUGAGAGGGUAGUAUUCCUCCACCACUUCCUCCGCGGACUAGGGUUUCCCCUCCAUCCAUUCGUCCGUGGUCUCAUGUUCCACUACGGGCUAGACUGUCAUGAUCUGGCCCCGAACUUCAUCCUCAACAUUUCGGCGUUCAUCGUCGUGUGUGAGGAUUUCCUCCACAUUCGGCCCCCCUUCGGCCUGUGGUUAAAGACCUUCAAUAUUAAGCCUUAUUUGUCUACUUGUUACACUUGCGAAUUUGUGAAUCUCUUUCAACAUUAUUGACUCUUGCUAACAUUUUGCAUUAAAUUUUUGUGCCUCUAUCCUCACCGAGCUCCACCAUAAGCCUUAUUUGUGUAGGUGUGAGAAACCGACAAGAAUUGGUACCAAUUGUGCUAUUUCCUUGUCCACAUUGGAGUGAUCAUUGAUCCACUUUCAACUUCGGUCAAGUUACAUUUGGUAUUCGUUCUUCUCUUUCUACCACUCACAUUUUUCUCUUGGAGUGAUGGAUGGGCAAGGCAUUUCAUCUUCGGUCUACAACAACAACGAUGAGUUCGAUGCCACGAACAACUCCAACAAUGCCAAGAUGCAAGCUCAAAUGGAGGAGAUCAAAGCCCUCAUCAAGUCCUACAAGCGGUCUUCCUCAUCUUUGAGAAGACGCUCAAGAGCACAUGCAUCCGAGCUACCAUUUCCGGCAAGGUCACAUCAGCAUCGACACCAUCAGCACCACGAACAUGAAGGUCAAGAGCUCAACACCAACAACCGCUCAACGACUUCACCAUCUCCCUUGGCAUCUUUGCCAAGCGACUUCAAGGCAUCUUCGCCUUCGGAUAUACGACAUCUUCGCCAACAAGCACCUCAAGACUUCUCUGGAUAGGCGUCGCCGGAUUUCCGGGGUUGGUCGCCGGAUGUCCAGACGUUGCUGAGGCGCCGGAUGUCCGGCCGCUGAAGCUCUUGGCCUUCUGUUGGUGUAGAUCCUAGGUGGCUGCACAGGCGCUGGAUGUCCGGCUGAUAGAGGCGAAGGUGUCUCGAUGUUUCGAUGAGAUGGUGGCUAUCGUUUUCUGUGGGAGUCGACCUUGACGAUCCGACUACGAACGUGCGAGAUGUCGCGCCUUAGCAAUCGCUAAACCAACUUUCGAGGGUUAUUGACCAUGCCAGAGCAUGAUCAAUCUGACCACGAGGGUAUGUUUCCUGCGAGCAAAUGAAUAACAAGCAAGAAACUGAGAUUGCAAUAUGGAUAUUGCGAAUAUAAGAUGAAAGCUUUAUUGAUCAAGGUGGGGUUCUGUGAUGCCUUUGUCUGGUCAUUGAACACAAACGAAGUACGCGAAGUUGCAGCUAUGGCGAACUUUAAUCUAAACAAAACCCAAAGUCUAAGCGACACUGUAAGGGCUGUAUAUAUGGAGGAAGAGGGAGGGAUUUCGUGGCCCUUGGAGGAGGGGUCCGAAACCAACCCUAAUGUAACACCCCGGAUGUAAUUUACCUUAUAUGUAUCCGAACUCUUGCCGUUUCCGGCGCUAAGUUAUUUUAUUUUCCUCGGGUUCGGGUUUUUGUCUCCGUGUGGUGUUGCCAUUGUCAUGCAUCUCAUAUCAUGUCAUCAUGUGCAUUGCAUUCGCAUACGUGUUCGUCUCAUGCAUCCGAGCAUUUUUCCCGUUGUCUGUUUUGCAUUCCGGCGCUCCUAUCUUCUCUGGUGGUCCUUUCUACCUCUUUUCGUGUGUGGGGGUUAAAAAUUUCCGGAUUGGAGCGAGACUUGCCAUGCGGCCUUGGUUUACUACCGGUAGACCGCCUUUUAAGUUUCGUACCAUUUGGACUUCGUUUGAUACUCCAACGGUUAACCGAGGGACCGAGAAGGCCUCGUUUGUGUUGCAGCCCAACACCCUUCGAAUUGGGCCCAAAACCCACCAAAACCCUCUCCAUCAUCUAGAGCGUUCGAUCACAAUCGCGUGGCCGAAAACCGCACCUCAUUUGGAGCUUCCUAGCUCCCUCUACCUCUAUAUAUAGAUCCCUUCCCCGAGAUCCGGACGAAACCCUAGACACCUCCCUCUCCACAUGCCGCCGGACCAAAUCCGGACGGCCGGACACGUCCGCCCGCUCCGCCGGACGAAUCAGCAGCUGCCACCUGUCUCGCGGGCGAGCCCCACUUCGCCGCCGCUGCGCGGGCCCGCCAGGCCCAGCGCCGGCCCUCCCCGCCGCCGUCCGGGCCGAAGCAGCGCGCCGCCCACGCCCGCGUGCCGCCUCUCCCUCGCCGGCCGCCGCUCGCCGCCCCGGCGACCCCGCAACUCCGGCCGACGCCCUUGGGCCCUCCGUCCUCUUCCUCGCAGCCCCGGCCGGCCCAAGCUCCGGUGACUCAAGCUCCAACUCCGGUCGGCGAUCAUCGGGUUCCGUGCAGCUACAGUACCUCGAUCCAAUCUGGAUCUAGAUCUCUCGGUUGACUUUUCCCUCAGAAACCGUAGUUUUUUUGCAUUUUUCAUCAUGUCGUAACUCUGCAUCUGUAGCUCCGAUUUGCACAUGUAGCAUAUCAAAAUGUUCGCCUCAGAGAGUACAUCAUUUCAUCUCAUUGCAUUAUUUUCAUUUGAGCUCAUCUUGAUGCCCUAAAUGCUGUUGGAAGAGAGCUAUAUGAUAUAAUUGUCAGAUCUGUUUCAUCAAAUAGCUAUUUGUCAUUUUUGCCAUGAUUAAUGUGUGCAUGAUAUGGUCCUGAGCUCUACAUGAGUUUUGUUAUAUGCCAUGCCAUCUUUACAGAGGUGCUUACCGUGUUUUUUUUGAUAUGUGUGGUGACUAGCACAAGCUUGUAAAUUAGUGCAUUCGUUAAUGCUGAUUCCAGGGACUUAGAAUUUCUCUAAGUCCUUGUCCUGAUUUUGUCAUUAUGCCAUAUGUUCAUGUUGUUUCCUAGUGAUCCAUGCCUCUUUUGAGGAUGAUCAUUAAGGAUGUUUUGUUAAUCUUGUGGUGCUCUAUCCAUCCAUGUAUUUGUUUGCAUUUAUGGAGCACCCUAGCUUGAGUCAAUCGAGCUCUACUUUUGCCAUUUCAUGAAUCCUGACAGAUUGUUGACUUGUUAGCAAUUUUGCCGAGGAUGUUGUUAUUGAUCCGUGCAUGCUAUGUUGUUGUUCUUGCCAUGUCUAGUUUCUAUGAUAUGUAUUCUUGAUGGGUGUAUGAUUAGUUGGUCAUGCCAUGCUCUGUAGUGAGUGCAUCGAGCUCGUGAACAUGCCUACUCGUUAACAGAUUUGCAUGCUCCAGUUUUUCACCAAGUCUGUAAUCUGAUUAUGUUUUUGCCAUGUUCACAUGCUUGCAAUUGUAUUUUCUGAUCCAUUUUGGCUCAAGGUCACUAAGGGACUUUUGUUAAGUGCUUUGAGUAGCUUCAUGUCAUUCCUUGCUUUGCCAUGUUAAGUUCCUGUAGCAUAUAGUUUUCAUGCUCCAAAGUGUGCUACCUGAUGUUAAAUUCCAGACUUGUGUUAAUUUCACUAAGUCUGAAACCUGUUAUCAUUUGCAUUUUUGCCAUGCUUGUUUGAACCUGUCAAUGGAUGGAUUGGCCGUAGCUCAGUGUUCAUGUUUUGUCAAGCAUCAUGAGUGAAUCCUUUCCAUGUAUUUUGUUGUCAUGUUUGAGUGUUGUAGCAUAUUUAUCUUGAUGCAUUUAGAUGGCUACUUGCUGUUUAUCGCAGAUCGGUGCCAUAUUUGUUUUGCUUGCCUUUUCCAAACCGUGCAUCCGAUUCCGGUGAUCUUUAUAUCGAUUUCAACCGAAAUCACCUCACCUUUCCAGUGGAACUCUUGGAUUUCCAAUUUUAGGCCAGGUUCAAUCAUUCCUUGUCAAAUCUUGCAUAUGCAUCACAUAUCGCAUCCCGCAUAGCAUACCAUGUGAGCAUCAUGUUUGUUUGAGCAUUGCACGUGGUUGAUUGUGUUCCUUUUGCUUGUUUGUCUUGUUUGGGUAGAGCCGGGAGACGAGUGCGCUAACGAGGAGCCCAUUGAGUUUGCUUACGGGGAUCAAGUCAACUCUGACAACUUUGCAGGCAAGAUGAUCAUACCCUCGAAAUCACUUCUAUCUUUGCUUGCUAGAUGCUCGCUCUUUUGCUAUGCCUAUGCUACGAUACCUACCACUUGAUUUCAUGCCUCCCAAAUUGCCAUGUCAAACCUCUAACCCACCAUGUCCUAGCAAACCAUUGAUUGGCUAUGUUACCGCUUUGCUCAACCCCUCUUAUAGUGUUGCUAGUUACAGGUGAAGAUUGGAGACCGUUCCUUGUUGGAACAUUGUUUAUUGUUGGAAUAUCACUAUAUUAUCUUGUUAUCUUAAUGCAUCUAUAUACUUGGUAAAGGGUGGAAGGCUCAGCCUUUUGCCUAGUGUUUUGUUCCACUCUUGCCGCCCUAGUUUCCGUCAUAUCGGUGUUAUUUUCCCGGAUUUUUGCGUUCCUUACGCGGUUGGGUUAUAAUGGGAACCCCUUGACAGUUUGCCUUGAAUAAAACUCCUCCAGCAAUGCCCAACCUUGGGUUUACCAUUUGCCACCUAGCCUCUUUUUCCCUUGGGUUUUCGGAGCCCAAGGGUCAUCUUUAUUUAAACCCCCCCGGGUCAGUGCUCCUCUGAGUGUUGGUCCAAACUAGAGCCCCUUGCAGCGCCACCUCGGGGAAACUCGAGGGCUGUUUUUAGUUUUACGGAUUGCUUAUCCGAGUGUGCCCUGAGAACGAGAGAUGUGCAGCUCCUAUCGGGAUUUGUCGGCACAUUCGGGCGGUGUUGCUGGACUUGUUUUACCAUUGUUGAGGAUGUCUUGUAGAACCGGGAUGCCGAGUCUGAUCGGAAUGUCUCGGGAGAAGGAAUAUCCUUCGUUGACCAUGAGAGCUUGUGAUGGGCUAAGUUGGGACUCCCCUGUAGGGAUUUGAACUUUCGAAAGACGUGCUCGCAGUUAUGGGCAGAUAGGAAUUUGUUAAUGUCCGGUUGUAGAUAACCUGAAAUUUAACUUAAUUAAAAUGAAUCAACCAUGUGUGUUACCGUGAUGGUCUCUUCUUGGCGGAGUCCAGAAAGUGAACACGGUGUUGGAGUAAUGUUUGACGUAGGUUGUUAUAGGAUCACUUCUUGAUCAUAGUUCUUCGUUCGUGCUUUGCCUUCUCUUCUCGCUCUCUUUUGCGAACAGGUUAGCCACCAUAUAUGCUAGUCGCUUGCUGCAGCUCCACAUAUUACCUUGCCUUACCUAUAAGCUUAAAUAGUCUUGAUCGCGAGGGUGCGAGAUUGCUGAGUCCCCGUGACUCACAGAUUACUUCCAAACUAGAUGCAGGGACUGAUGAUACCGUUCCAGAUGAUGCGCUUGAGCUCAAGUGGGAGUUCGACGAAGACUCUCGCCGUUACCAUGUGUCUUUCCCUGAUGAUCAGUAGUGGUGCCCAGUUGGGGCGAUCGGGACCGUGUCGCAUGUUGGGGUUGAUCUUUUAUUUUUGUACCAUAGUCGGACCGUGAGUGUAUUGGAUGAUUGUAAUGUUAUUCAUGUAUUUGUGUGACGUGGCGAGUGUAAGCUAACUAUGUACCUUUUCCCCUAUUAUCUAUUUACAUGGGUUGUUGUGAAGAUUACCUUACUUGCGACAUUGCUUUCAAUGCGGUUAUGCCUCUAAGUUGUGCUUUGACACGUAGGAGAUAUAGCCGCAUCGAGGGCGUUACAAGUUGGUAAUCAGAGCCUUCCCCGACCUUAGGAGCCCCCCUGCUUGAUCGAAUAGCUGGCGUUGUUGAGUCUAGAAAAAUGUUUUGAGUCAUUUAGGAUAUGUAUAUCAGAGAGUUUAGGAAUUCUUUUUACUCCCCAGUCCCUUCAUCGCUCUGGUGAGGCAUCCUGACGUAGAGUUUUGACUCUUCUCUUCUCAAAUUUCACAAAAAAAAUUUUAGGAUCACGCGGGUAUCUUGGAAUCUUCCGAUCAAUUUGUGACGAGAACAUUGUUCUUGGUGCCUCCUGUCAUUUAGGGGUUGUGGCAGUGUCCCGGGGAGUUGAGCUCCGAGGUGUUGUCGUCACAAUUUUAUCAUUGCAGUUCUGGAAUACCAGAGUUUAGGUUCGCCAACAUUGAAAAUCUCUUUUAUGCAGUUGUUGGUGAGAUAACCUCGACGCCACCCAGUACUGGGGCGGGAGUUCGGGAGUAUUGCCAUAACUUGUAUAACGGAUGCUUUUCGAAGGUUGAGGUAGACGAUUUCCAUAGUUUUUCUUGGUUAUGUGUUGAAGGAUGGAUACAACUGGAUGUAGGAUUUGCUAGAUUUGGGUGAUAUAUUAUGCUUCCCCUGUAUCCCCAACACCUGAUUGCAUAACCGGAAAGGUUCGGGAGUUUCAUAGGUGGGAAUUCUUGUAGCUCUAGUUCUUCUUCCAUGGAUAUUUGGUUUGAGAUUGGGUGAUCCUUACCGAGUAUUCGUUCUCGUUCCGUACCUUGUUGUUGUUUUUAUUCUACCUAAAUUCUAAGGGGCUUCUCAAUUCAUGGAUAUGUGACCAUUUCAAUUGGAAUGCAUUCGUUCAUUUUGUUCGGAUGCGAAGACUAUAUGUUGCAAUUUCAACCCGUUUGAUUCAACUUCAAUAUUUGUCUAUCAAUGUGCUAAUGGAUGUCAACCUCUUCAGGAUGGCUCCUUCAACGCGCACGACUCCGAAUCCUGAUCCGCCACCACCACCUCCACCUCCGGAGGCAUGGCAAGCUGUGAUGGCCGCUACCAAUGCAAACACGUAGCUGAUCAUGCAACUUCUUCAAGAGCGCAACCAAGGGAACCAGGGCCAAGGCAACAAUCAGAAUCACUUUGCUACACUCAACCAGUUCCUUGCUAACAAGCCAAAGACCUUCAGCAAUUGUGUUGAGGCAACAGACACUGAUGAUUGGCUCGUGGACAUAUGCAAGCAUUUCGAGUGCAGUAACGUCAGGCCUGAGGACUUUGUCAAGUUCGCUUCCUUCCAACUCAAAGACCAAGCUGCAGAAUGGUUUCAGCAGUACAAAGAUUCCAGAGGAGGCCGUGUGAUUACCUGGGAUGAAUUCCGUCAAGAUUUCAAAGCUCAUCAUAUUCCUCAGAGCGUGGUUGAAAGCAAGCGUGAGGAAUUCCGCAACCUAAAGCAAGGCUCUAUGUCUGUUUACGAGUACAACAAGAUGUUUCAGAAGCUCGCCCGUUUUGCUAAGCAAGACGUCCCUCACGAGAAGAGCAUGAUAUACCAGUUCAGGGGUGGUCUCAGAGAAGAAAUCCAGCUAGCUCUCGUUCUCUUUGAGCCCAAGAGGUACGAUGAGUUUUACAACAUGGCAAUGAAGCAAGAUACUGCUCAACUGAAGUGCGAUGCUUCCAAGAAGCGAGUCAGAGAUGCUACUCCUUCUUCCUCAACUCAAGUGGCUAAGCAGCAGAAGUUUUGGCUUCCUCCUCCUCUGUUCCGUCAGCCUUAUCAGCAGAAGAGCAAAGGUGGCAGUGGAUCUUCCCACCCACCCAACCCUGGCUUUCAGAACAAGACUUCGUCUCAAGCUCCAAGAUCAAGUGCUCCGUAUCACCGUCCACUUUCAUAGGUCACGUGCAACAAGUGCCAACAGAAGGGUCACUAUGCCAACAAAUGCUUCAAUCAGAGGCGUCUCCCUCCUCCUCCUCCUCCUCCUGUGAGAUCAACAAGUAUAGCUAUGGUCAAGCAUAACCCCAAGUACGCCAAGGUCAACAUGGUGAAUGCAGCUCAGGCAGAGGACUCGUCAAAUGUCAUCAUGGGUAACCUUCCUGUUAAUGAUAUUCCUACAAGAGUUCUUUUUAACACUGGUGCAUUGCAUUGUUUCAUGUCGAGACCUUUUGCAUCUAAGCAUGAUUUUGUUACUCAAGUGUUGCCGAAACCGUUGGCUAUUGUCUCUCCGGCCCGUCAAAUGACAUCUCGAGUAUGCGUUCCGGAUGUUUCAAUCACAUUGGGUGACUAUAAGUUCUUGUCCUCUCCAAAUGUUCUUGGUGACUCAGAUGUUGAUCUUAUUCUUGGAAUGGACUGGCUUUCUAAGCACAAGGCUCAGCUUGAUUGUGCAGCCAGGUAGAUUCAAUUGACUCAUUCGUCUGAGGAUGUUAUUGUCUUUGCCGCUCGUGAUGAUACAAUCCGUCUGUUUUCUCUCAAUGAGAAGGGUGAACUGGAUGCCAUCUCUCAAAUUCCAGUCGUUUGCGAAUAUCAAGAUGUCUUUCUAGAAGAGCUUCCAGGAAUGUCUCCGCACCGGCCAGUUGAAUUCGUCAUCGAUCUUGAGCCUGGCACGGAACCGGUUUGCAAACAUCCUUACAAGCUUGGACCUGAAGAAUUGAAGGAGCUGAAGAAGCAACUCGAUAUUCAAGAGCGAAUGGGUCUCAUCCGACCUAGUUCUUCUCUGUGGGGUUGUGGAGUUCUUUUUGUGAAGAAGAAGGAUGGAACGGACCGACUUUGUAUUGACUACCGUCCAUUGAACAAGAAGACUAUAAAGAACAAGUACCCACUUCCCAACAUCAAUGAGCUGUUCGAACAACUCAAAGGUGCUCAAGUAUUCUCCAAGCUUGAUCUCCGUAUGGGCUAUCACCAGAUUCGAAUCCGCGAGCAAGAUAUUCCCAAGACGGCUUUCAGAACAAGCUAUGGUUCAUAUGAAUACACUGUCAUGUCUUUUGGUCUUGUCAACGCUCCACCGACUUUCUCUCGCAUGAUGAACUUCAUCUUCAACGCCUACACAAAUGACUUUGUCUUGGUCUACCUCGAUGACAUUCUGGUCUUUUCAAGAACAAGGAAGAUCAUGCCAAGCACUUGCGUUUGGUGCUCGAUAAGCUCAGAGAACAUCAGUUCUAUGCCAAGUUCUCAAAGUGCUAGUUUUGGCUCGAUGAGGUUCUCUAUCUUGGGCAUAUCAUCUCUGCCAAGGGCAUUGCGGUGAAUCCUGAGAAGGUGUCUGCAAUUGUUAAUUGGGAAUCACCUCAGAACGUGAAGCAACUCCGCAGCUUCCUUGGUCUCGCAAGCUACUGUCGAAGGUUCGUUGGGAACUUUUCAAAGAUCGUGAAGCCUCUUCCAAACCUUCUCCAGAAGCACGUCAAGUACAUUUGGUCUCCAGAAUGUGACAUCGCUUUCAACACUUUGAAAGAGAAAUUAGUCACUGCUCCAGUUCUGACUCCUCCUGAUGAAUCCAAACCGUUCGAGGUCUUCUGCGAUGCCUCCCUUCAAGGUCUUGGUGCAGUGUUGAUGCAAGAGAAGAAAGUUGUGGCUUAUACCUCUCGCCAGUUGAAGCCCAACAAGAAGAACUACCCCACUCAUGACCUCGAGUUGGCGGUAGUUGUGCAUGCUCUUUUGUCUUGGAGACAUCUCUUAUUGGGAACAAAAGUGGACAUCUUCACUGACCACAAGAGUCUCAAGUACAUCUUCACUCAGCCUAACCUCAACCUCAGGCAAACUCGUUGGGUUGAAAUGAUUCAAGAGUAUAAUCCGAGUAUUGAAUAUACUCCAGGCAUGGCCAAUGUGAUUGCUGACGCUUUGAGCAGGAAGGCUUACUGCAACUGUCUGAUUCUCAAGCCUUACCAACCCGAGCUUUGUGAAGCUUUCCGCAAACUUAAUUUGCAAGUUGUUCCUCAAGGUUUCCUCGCCAACAUUCAAGUAUCUCCUACUUUGGAAGAUCAGAUUCGUGAGGCUCAACUUCUUGAUGCUAUGGUGAAGAAGGUGAAGAUUGGGAUUGCCAAGAGUCAACCCAAGUACAAGUGCUAUCGCCUUGAUGACAAGGAUACUCUCUUCUUCAAGGAUCGCAUUGUUGUGCCUAAAUGUGACCUUCGUAAAGUCAUUAUGAACGAGGCUCACAAUUCACUCCUCUCUAUCCACCCUGGGAGUAUGAAGAUGUAUCAGGACCUCAAGCAGGCUUAUUGGUGGACUCGAAUGAAGCACGAGAUUGCUCAGUUCGUGAAUGAAUGUGAUGUCUGCAAAAGAGUGAAUGAAGAACACCAACGACGAGCUGGUCUCCUCCAACCUCUUGCCAUUCCAGAAUGGAAGUUUGACCACAUUGAGAUGGACUUCGUGACUGGGUUUCCAAAGUCCAAGCGUGGCAAUGAUGCUAUAUUCGUUGUCAUCGACAAACUCACUAAAGUGGCUUACUUUCUGCCUAUCAAAGAGUCUAUCACUGCAGCUCAAUUGGUGGAGCUUUAUACCUCUCAGAUUGUCUCUCUGCACGGCAUUCCAUAGUUGAUCUCUUUAGACUAUGGCAGCAUCUUUACCUCCAAGUUUUGGGAUUCUUUUCAGAAGGCCAUGGGCACCAACAUCCGCUUCAGCACAACUUUUCAUCCUCAAACUAGCGGUCAAGUCGAGCGUGUCAAUCAGAUUCUCGAAGAUAUGCUCAGGGCUUGCGUUAUCACUUUCGGUAUGAAGUGGGAAGAUUGUCUUCCAUAUGCCGAGUUCUCCUACAACAACAGUUUUCAAGCAAGUUCGGGCAAGGCCCCAUUCGAAAUUCUCUAUGGAAGGAAGUGUCGUACUCCUCUUAACUGGUCAGAGACCGGUGAACGUCAACUUCUCGGAAAUGACUUGAUCACAGAGGUAGAGGAAAUGUGCGAAGUCAUUCGUGAUAACCUCAAAGCAGCGCAAUCGCGCCAGAAGAGCUACUAUGAUAGUAAGCAUCGUGAUUUGUCUUUCGAGAUCGGAGACCAUGUUUACCUCCGCGUCUCUCCAAUGAAAGGUACUCAUUGCUUCGGUAUCAAAGGGAAGCUUGCCCCUGGAUACGUGGGUCCUUUCAAGAUCGUCAGCAAGAGAGGCGAUCUCACCUAUCAACUCGAGCUUCCUCCAAACUUUGCAAAUGUGCACGACGUGUUCCAUGUCUCUCAGCUCCGCAAGUGCUUCAAGACCCCUGACCGCACCGUCAACUUCGAAGACAUUGAUCUCCAAAAAGACCUCUCUUAUCGUGAGCACCCAGUUGCUAUUCUUGAAGAAACUGAACGCAAGACUCGCAAUAAGUCAAUCAAAUUCCUCAAAGUCAAGUGGUCACACCAUUCCGACCGUGAAGCCACCUGGGAACGCGAGGAUCACCUCCGUUCUGAGUACCCAACAUUUUUCGUGUCCUAGAUCUUGGGACGAGAUCCUUUCGUAGUGGUGGAGUGUUGUAACACCCCGGAUGUAAUUUACCUUAUAUGUAUCCUAACUCUUGCCGUUUCCGGCGCUAAGUUAUUUUAUUUUCCUCGGGUUCGGGUUUUUGUCUCCGUGUGUUGUUGCCGUUGUCAUGCAUCUCAUAUCAUGUCAUCAUGUGCAUUGCAUUCGCAUACGUGUUCGUCUCAUGCAUCCGAGCAUUUUUCCCGUUGUCCGUUUUGCAUUCCGGCGCUCCUAUCUCCUCCGGUGGUCCUUUCUACCUCUUUUCGUGUGUGGGGGUUAAACAUUUCCGGAUUGGACCGAGACUUGCCAUGCGUCCUUGGUUUACUACCGGUAGACCGCCUGUCAAGUUUCGUACCAUUUGGACUUCGUUUGAUACUCCAACGGUUAACCGAGGGACCAAGAAGGCCUCGUUUGUGUUGCAGCCCAACACCCUUCCAAUUUGGCCCAAGACCCACCAAAACCCUCUCCAUCAUCUAGAGCGUUCGAUCACGAUCGUGUGGCCGAAAACCGCACCUCAUUUGGAGCUUCCUAGCUCCCUCUACCUCUAUAUAUAGAUCCCUUCCCCGAGAUCCGGACGAAACCCUAGACCCCUCCCUCUCCACGCGCCGCCGGACAAAAUCCGGACGGCCGGACACGUCCGCCCACUCCGCCGGACGAAUCAGCGGCUGCCACCUAUCCCGCGGGCGAGCCCCACUUCGCUGCCGCCGCGCGGGCCCGCCAGGCCUAGCGCCGGCCCUCCCCACCGCCGUCCGNNNNNNNNNNNNNNNNNNNNNNNNNNNNNNNNNNNNNNNNNNNNNNNNNNNNNNNNNNNNNNNNNNNNNNNNNNNNNNNNNNNNNNNNNNNNNNNNNNNNNNNNNNNNNNNNNNNNNNNNNNNNNNNNNNNNNNNNNNNNNNNNNNNNNNNNNNNNNNNNNNNNNNNNNNNNNNNNNNNNNNNNNNNNNNNNNNNNNNNNNNNNNNNNNNNNNNNNNNNNNNNNNNNNNNNNNNNNNNNNNNNNNNNNNNNNNNNNNNNNNNNNNNNNNNNNNNNNNNNNNNNNNNNNNNNNNNNNNNNNNNNNNNNNNNNNNNNNNNNNNNNNNNNNNNNNNNNNNNNNNNNNNNNNNNNNNNNNNNNNNNNNNNNNNNNNNNNNNNNNNNNNNNNNNNNNNNNNNNNNNNNNNNNNNNNNNNNNNNNNNNNNNNNNNNNNNNNNNNNNNNNNNNNNNNNNNNNNNNNNNNNNNNNNNNNNNNNNNNNNNNNNNNNNNNNNNNNNNNNNNNNNNNNNNNNNNNNNNNNNNNNNNNNNNNNNNNNNNNNNNNNNNNNNNNNNNNNNNNNNNNNNNNNNNNNCGACCCCGCAACUCCGGCCGACGCCCUUGGCCCCUCCGUCCUCUUCCUCGCAGCCCCGGCCGGCCCAAGCUCCGGCGACUCGAGCUCCAACUCCGGUCGGCGAUCAUCGGUUUCCGUGCAGCUAUAGUACCUCGAUCCGAUCUGGAUCUAGAUCUCUCGGUUGACUUUUCCCUUAGAAACCCUAGUUUUUUUGCGUUUUUCAUCAUGCCGUAACUCCGCAUCCGUAGAUCCGAUUUGCGCGUGUAGCAUAUCAAAAUGUUCACCUCAGAGAGUAGAUCAUUUCAUAUCAUUGCACCAUUUUCAUUUGAGCUCAUAUUGAUGCCCGAAAUGAUGUUGGAAGAGGGCUAUAUGAUAUAAUUGUGAGAUCUGUUUCAUCAAAUAGCUAUUUGUCAUUUUUGCCAUGAUUAAUAUGUGCAUGAUAUGCUCCUGAGCUCUACAUGAGUUUUCUUAUAUGCCAUGCCAUCUUUACAGAGGUGCUUACCAUGUUUUUUGUGAUAUGUGUGGUGACUAGCACAAGCUUGUAAAGUAGUGCAUUCGUUAAUGCUGAUUCCAGGGACUUGGAAUUUCUCUAAGUCCUUGUCCUGAUUUUGUCAUUAUGCCAUAUGUUCAUGUUGUUUCCUAGUGAUCCGUGCCUCUUUUGAGGAUGAUCUGUAAGGUUGUUUUGUUAACCUUGUGGUGCUCUAUCCGUCCAUGUCUUUGUUUACAUUUAUGGAGCACCCUAGCUUGAGUCAAUCGAGCUCUACUUUUGCCAUUUCGUGAAUCCUGGCAGAUUGUUGACUUGUUAGCAAUUUUGCCAAGGAUGUUGUUAUUGAUCCGUGCAUGCUAUGUUGUUGUUCUUGCCAUGUCUAGUUUCUAUGAUAUGUAUUCUUGAUGGGUGUAUGCUUAGUUGGUCAUGCAAUGCUCUGUAAUGAGUGCAUCGAGCUCGUGAACAUGCCUACUCGUUAACAGAUUUGCAUGCUCCAGUUUUUCACGAAGUCUGUAAUCUGAUUAUGUUUUUGCCAUGUUCACAUGCUUGCAAUUGUAUUUUCUGAUCCAUUUUGGCUCAAGGUCACUAAGGGACUUUUGUUAAGUGCUUUGAGUAGCUUCAUGUCAUGCCUUGAUUUGCCAUGUUAAGUUCCUGUAGCAUAUUGUUUUCAUGCUCCAAAGUGUGCUACCUGAUGUUAAAUUCCAGACUUGUGUUAAUUUCACUAAGUCUGGAACCUGUUAUCAUUUGCAUUUUUUCCAUGCUUGUUUGAACCUGUUAAUGGAUGGAUUGGCCAUAGCUCUGUGUUCAUCUUUUGUCAAGCAUCAUGAGUGGAUCCCUGCCAUGUAUUUUUUUUGUCAUGUUUGAGUGUUGUAGCAUAUUUAUCUUGAUGCAUUUAGAUGGCUACUUGCUGUUUAUCGCAGAUCGGUGCCAUAUUUGUUUUGCUUGCCUUUUCCAAACCGUGCAUCCGAUUCCGGUGAUCUUUAUAUCGAUUUCAACCGAAAUCACCUCACCUUUCCAGUGGCACUCUUGGAUUUCCAAGUUGAGGCCAGGUUCAAUCAUUCCUUGUCAAAUCUUGCAUAUGCAUCACAUAUCACAUCCCGCAUAGCAUACCAUGUUAGCAUCUUGUUUGUUCGAGCAUUACACGUGAUUGAUUGUGUUCCCUUUGCUUGUUUGUCUUGUUUGGGUAGAGCCAGGAUACGAGUGCGCUAACGAGAAGCCCGUUGAGUUUGCUUACGAGGAUCAAGUCAACUCUGACAACUUUGCAGGCAAGAUGAUCAUACCCUCGAAAACACUUCUAUAUUUGAUUGCUAGAUGCUCGCUCUUUUGCUAUGCCUAUGCUAUGAUACCUACCACUUGCUUUCAUGCCUCCCAAAUUGCCAUGUCAAACCUCUAACCCACCAUGUCCUAGCAAACCGUUGAUUGGCUAUAUUACCGCUUUGCUCAGCCCCCCUUAUAGCGUUGCUAGUUGCAGGUGAAGAUUGGAGACCGUUCCUUGUUGGAACAUUGUUUAUUGUUGGGAUAUCACUAUAUUAUCUUGUUAUCUUAAUGCAUCUAUAUACUUGGUAAAGGGUGGAAGGCUCGACCUUUUGCCUAGUGUUUUGUUCCACUCUUGCCGCCCUAGUUUCCGUCAUUUCGGUGUUAUGUUCCCAGAUUUUUGUGUUCCUUACGCGGUUGGGUUAUAAUGGGAACCCCUUGACAGUUCGCCUUGCAUAAAACUCCUCCAGCAAUGCCCAACCUUGGUUUUACCAUUUUCCGUCUAGCCUCUUUUUCCCUUGGGUUUCCGGAGCCCAAGGGUCAUCUUUAUUUAAACCCCCCCGGGCCAGUGAUCCUCUGAGUGUUGGUCCAUACUAGAGCCCCUUGCAGCGCCACCUCAGGGAAACUCGAGGGCUAGUUUUAGUUGUAUGGAUUGCUUAUCCGAGUGUGCCCUGAGAACGAGAUAUGUGCAGCUCCUAUCGGGAUUUGUGGGUACAUUCGGGCGGUGUUGCUGGACUUGCUUUACCAAUGUCAAGGAUGUCUUGUAGAACCGGGAUGCCGAGUCUGAUCGGAAUGUCUCGGGAGAAGGAAUAUCCUUCAUUGACCAUGAGAGCUUGUGAUGGGCUAAGUUGGGACUCCCCUGCAGGGAUUUGAACUUUCGAAAGCUGUGCCCGUGGUUAUGGGCAGAUGGGAAUUUGUUAAUGUCCGGUUGUAGGUAACCUGAAAUUUAACUUAAUUAAAAUGAAUCAACCGCGUGUGUUACCGUGAUGGUCUCUUCUCGGCGGAGUCCGGGAAGUGAACACGGUGUUGGAGUAAUGUUUGACGUAGGUUGUUAUAGGAUCACUUCUUGAUCAUAGUUCUUCGUUUGUGCUUUGCCUUCUCUUCUCGCUCUCUUUUGCGAACAGGUUAGCCACCAUAUAUGCCAGUCGCUUGCUGCAGCUCCACAUAUUACCUUGCCUUACCUAUAAGCUUAAAUAGUCUUGAUCGCGAGGGUGCGAGAUUGCUGAGUCCCCGUGACUCACAGAUUACUUCCAAACCAAAUGCAGGGACUGAUGAUACUGUUCCAGAUGAUGCGCUUGAGCUCAAGUGGGAGUUCGACGAAGACUCUCGCCGUUACUAUGUGUCUUUCCCUGAUGAUCAGUAGUGGUGCCCAUUUGGGGCGAUCGGGACCGUGUCGCAUGUUGGGGUUGAUCUUUUAUUUUGGUACCGUAGUCGGACCAUGAGUGUAUUGGAUGAUUGUAAUGUUAUUGAUGUAUUUAUGUGACGUGGCGAGUGUAAGCCAACUAUGUACCUUUUCCCCCUAUUAUCUAUUUACAUGGGUUGUUGUGAAGAUUACCUUACUUGCAACAUUGCUUUCAAUGCGGUUAUGCCUCUAAGUCGUGCUUCGACACGUAGGAGAUAUAGCCGCAUCGAGGGUGUUACACCUAACUCUUGUUUCCCCACACAUACGGACUCUAAAAACAGCCUAUACUUAAGUAUUUCGAAAAUACAUGGGCCUGACCCAAUAAUAAGGUGACGCAGCACCUAGAAUACCCUCUAGAUGAAAUUUAUGAAGUGGCAUCUUGUAUAUUUCAUCCAAGGCUUCAUGCCCUCCUUAUGGUGGCUUCAAAGUCCUGAAAUUAUUACUUGUAACUCCGUUCUGGAUCCCCUUGCGCAUGCCAUCAUCUCCAUGCUUGGUCUUGCUCCAGUGUUCAUCCCUCUUAUCCAUGCCAGGCCCUUCAUUUGUAAGCAAAACAAAUGUAUCCAAUUUAGGUAGCAUCAUAUUCUCAUGAACAUCAGAAUCAUUACCAAGAAACGGAAGUACCUGAUAAUUUAAUUGGCGUGCGCGAGCUCUAGUAAUUGGUCCAGUAUGUAUAGCAGCAGGGGUUGUGGGUGUAACAAUGGUAUUGAUGUCCUCGUCAUCCUCCCCUUCUUGAAAUGAAGUCGUCCUCGACGAAAGCUCAUCUUCCUCACUCAAAUAAGGCUUUGAAUCUGCAAUGUUAAAAGUGGGACUAACCCCAAAAUCUGCAGGCAGGUCAAGUUUAUAUGCAUUAUCAUUUAUUUUCUCUAACACCUUAAAAGGACCAUCAACACGUGGCAUUAUCUUUAAUUUGCACAAAUUAGGAAAUCUAUCCUUACGCAAAUGUAACCAAACAAGAUCUCGAGGUGCAAACACAACAUGUUUUCUACCCUUAUCUCCAGCAAGUUUAUAUUUAGCAUUCAUACGCUCAAUGUUUCCCUUAGUUAACCCAUGCAUUUUUAAAAUCAAUUCAACACGUUCUUUAGCAUCAAAAUUAACCUUCUCCGAAGAUGGAAGAGGCAACAAAUCAAUAGGUGCACGAGGUAGGAAACCGUACACAAUUUCAAAAGGGCACAUCUUAGUAGUAGAAUGCAAUGAACGAUUAUAAGCAAAUUCAAUAUGAGGCAAGCAUUCUUCCCACAUUUUCUUGUUAUUCUUCAAAACAGCCCUAAGCAUAGUAGACAAUGUUCUAUUGACUACUUCAGUUUAUCCAUCAGUUUGAGGGUGACAAGUAGUACUAAAAAGCAGUUUAGUCCCCAACUUAGUCCAUAAACAUUUCUAAAAGUGGCUAAGAAAUUUAGUAUCAUGAUCUGAAACAAUAGUAUUUGGCACACCAUGCAAGCGAAUAAUUUCACGAAAGAACAAAUCAGCAACAUUAAUAGCAUCAUUGCUUUUAUCACAUGGUAUAAAGUGUGCCAUUUUCGAGAACCUAUCAACGACAAAAAAUAUGCUAUCCCUCCCCUUCUUUGUUCGAGGUAAACCUAAAACAAAGUCCAUAGAUAUAUCCUCCCAAGGAACACUAGGUAUAGGCAAAUGCAUAUAUAAACCAUGAGGAUUGAGUCGUGACUUAGCUUUUUGACAUGUAGUGAAGCGAGCAACAAAACGCUCAACAUCACGUCUCAUCUUUGGCCAAAAGAAAUGUGUAGCAAGUAUAUCCUCCGUCAUCUUGAAGCCAAAGUGUCCCACUAAUCCUCUUCCAUGCGCCUCCUGCAACAACAAAAGAUGAACGGAGCUAGCUGGAAUGCGUAGCUUGUUAGCACGAAACACAAAUCCAUCGUUAAGAACGAACUUGUUCCAAGUUCUCCCUUCCUUACAAUUCUGCAAUACAUCUUUAAAUUCAACAUCAUGCACAUAUUGAUCUUUGAUGGUCUCCAAACCAAAUAUUUUAAAGUCAAGUUGUGAAAGCAUAGCAUAACGACGAGACAAAGUGUCAGGACCCCGAUUCCAAGUCACAUCGAUCUAGCAUGUAACACCUCAUAUCACUUUGCGGCCUCACGCACGGUAUUCCCGCGAGUGUCGCCUUAUUAUGGCCCGGGACCAUUUGCGUCUUCUGGCUCACGUAUAUGAUAGUGUCGCUAGCAUCCAUAUGACAGGGAACCCAGGGAAAAUGGACUAGGUCGCACAAUAAAUCUUAGGAUGAUGAUUCAAUAACCAACACACAAAGAAUAAAAUUAUUGUCCAUUAACUACCAAGCAACAGAGUUGCUAGGAGUAUUGAUUUCACACAUCAUAGUUCACUUGUCAGCAUUCUGGUUACAGCUAACACGGAAACCGAGGAAUGAACAAUGAUGGCAAGAAGUAUCACUGCAACAAGAAUUCAUAAGAGAUGGUGCAAAUCUCAUGAUAUUCCUGACAUAAAGUGGAUAAUACUUCAGGGUAGAACAGACCAAUAGCUUGAUUGCAUUUGAUCUGCGAAAUACAACUGCUUUGACCCAUCCUAGAAAUGGAUGAGGUACUGGAGUUUGUUUCUCCUAGUCAUUCCAGAAUAGAAUGGCUUGACAGACCAUAAGAAUAAGAGGUAUCGAUGAGCAUGAAUGCAAGACAUGCUCUUAACUAUCAAAUGAUAGACGGAGAUCAUGAUACAACUAAAGAGGGACAACUCAAGGAACAUAUAUCUUUCUGAGUUGUAGAUGCAUAGAUUAGUAUGUCGAGCAAAGCUCAACAUUCCUUCCGGAUAACCCAUGUAGAAAGGUAGAACUGGCAGAGUCACAACAUAGAAUGGAGACCUCAUCAAGAGCACUCUUGUUGUGAUCAUUGGUUCAAAGAUCUUCUGCCAUAAUGGUUCAUGGUAUUUGGAAGAAGGAAAUACCACAGACCUCGAGGACUAUCGCAAAGGUUACUAAUAUCCUAAAGGUACGAGCAACACUAUCAACACGAGGUAAGUAGAGUGGAUCUUGGGUCAGGAACACAGGAGUGGAAUACCUACUACUAGAUGGCAUCACGAGAUGCUUUCGAGAAUAAUGGCUAGAAUCAUCACACUAUAAAUACAAAACAUGGCUAGGUUACUAGAUGAUCCCCUAGGACACCUAGGGUCAUAAUAAUAAUUCCAACAUAUAUGUCGAGGCAAUAGAAUACCUCAACUCAGCAAUUAGUGUGGUCAAACUGGCCCAAAGAAACAUCGGGAACGGAAAGAAGGGAUUUGCAAAUGCAUCAGACUAUUUUAGAAACCUGGGAUGACUCGGACAGCAUAACAGCUGUAAAUGCUCAAAAUGAUUUGAGACAUCUUGCAAAAAUGGUGGCAUAACCACUCAACAUCACCAUAUCAAGGUUCUGAGGCCAACAAUGAACAUAUGGAAGUAGUAGGAACUUAAUUGAGGUUUGAACUCAACAAUCCUAGGCAACUAUGGUUUAGUAACACGUCAUCCUGAGAGAUAGAAGAGAAGCCUAGUUCUUAACCCCGUAGAAAAGAUAAGAUGACUCAGAUCAGAAGGUCAUGAGGAUAAGGAGUAAAAAGAGCCUUACGUUCCCAUCCACAAUCAAUUCCCUUAUAUAACUAAAGCAUUUCUAGACACGACUUCGACCAGCUUGGCUUGGUAAUCCUACAGGAAGUCAGGCUCUGAUACCAAAGCUGUCAGGACCCCGAUUCCAAGUCACAUCGAUCUAGCAUGUAACACCUCAUAUCGCUUUGCGGCCUCACUCACGGUAUUCCCACGGGUGUCGCCUUACUAUGGCCCGGGACCGUUUGCGUCUUUUGGCUCACGUAUAUGAUAGUGUCGCUAGAAUCCAUAUGACAGAGAACCCGGGCCGACAUGGCUAGUCGUGAACCCAAAGCGGCACCAACCUAUGGGGACAGGCAUACAUGUAUCACAUCGAGCAUGUCGGUCAGCAGCGUGUGAAUCCGGGCUGUAGCACUGGGCUAACAGGACUCCGGAAACCCGGGCUGUAGCAGGCUAGGCAGGACUCCGGAUGUCACCGCGUGACAUUUCCCCGAAGGGACAGACACAGGAGCAAAGAGAAACACAUGCCGGCCAGUCAAGUGUCCUGAGCAGUAGUGCUGGGCUAGCAGGACUCUGGUGAACCGGGCUAUAGCGGACUACUAUGGAUCAUGGAAGCACAAGACUAAAUUUCCCCAUAAGAGAGGCUACCAAGGAUAAACAACUAGGUUGUCGGAUCCCACACAUACCAAGCAUUUCAAUCAUACACACAAUAUGCUCGAUAUGUGUAAAUACAACAUGGCAUCACAACAUAACUCUAUGACUCAAGUAUUUAUUCAUUAGGCUCCGAAGAGCGAGAUAAUACAAACAUGGGUCUCAUGACCCAACAUUCAGAGCAUACAAGUCAAAGCACAUGCGGAAGCUUAACUUGUCUGAGUACAGACAACUAAAAAUGAAGAAGGCUGAGGAGCCUGACUAUCUACCAGACCCUCCCAAGGGUACAAGAUCGUAGCUGAGGUAACAAGCUAAACGUCCAAGCCCACAUGGACGUAUUAGCGAGAUUGAAGUCUCUCUGCAAAACAUAAAAUAAGCAAACGUGAGUACAAAUGUACCUAGCAAGACUUACAUCAGAACUAACUACAUAUGCAUCGGUAUCAACAAAGAGGGUGGUGGAGUUUAAUUGCAGCAAGCCAGCUUUGACUCAGUGGCUAACCUGAACUACGAUUGCAAGUAACUCUUUUGAGGUGGCGCACACGAGUCCACAAAUUCACCAUACCAAUACACCACUAUGGAUCCGCUCCCGUCUCCCUGCGAGAACGCCAUCCAUAUCACUCACACUUAUCUUGCGAGUUUUAGAGUAUCCACUUUCACUUGUCUAUGAACUAUGCAAGGGGUCCAAGUUUCCAUAUCCGAGGAAUCCGGCUAUUCGAAUAGAUAAUGAGAACCCUGCAGGGGUGUACUUCUUCACACACGCUCUCGCCACUUAUCGCCCUGUACACGCCAUGUACCUCGGCAACCUUCAAGCGGAAGCCGGGCGAGGGAGUCGGCCACGACCUGACUAACCAACAAGUCUCUAGUCCAGGUUUAUUGCCUAUUCGGGUUCCAUCCGCAAGGAGAUCCGGCCGGGGUGUCGCUCACGGCCCCAAACGAUGUGUGCAGGGUUCCCAAGCCCACCAUCCGGGUGCCACUUGGUACACCGUGCCACUGUGCCUAGCCUGCCCCAAGCCCACUUGUACCGGGUGCCACUUGGUAGACUACUAACACUACCUACAAACACCAGAAAAUAGUUGCAACUCUUGGACAUAGAUCGAGUUGUUUAAUAAGCUGAGAGGGGCCGAGUUACCGGAACCCAAUGUGUGGUAGUAACUGUUCAUGGAUCACAAACACAGAACUCAGUUCCCGAGAACGGCUGCAAUGAGACAACCCACCAUGUACUCCUACAUGGCCUCUGACACGCUACCUUUACCAAAUCGUGUUCACACACUUAGCUCUCAACGGUAGGACAUGUUCACCACGUUCCAAUUCAUUCCCGAUGAAUCAAGCCGGACUCAACUCUAAGUAGUAGCAGGCAUGACAACAAGAAUGAAUGAGUAGGCACAUUAGGGCUCAAACAACUCCUACUCAUGCUAGUGGGUUUCAUCUAUUUACUGUGGCAAUGACAGGUCAUGCAGAGGAAAGGGGUUCAACUACCGCAACAUGUAACCGUUGAAUCGGUGUUGUCCUAAUGCAGUAAAAGAGAGCAGGAGCGAGAGAGUGGGAUUGUAUCGGAAUGAACAAGGGGGUUUUGCUUGCCUGGCACUUAUGAAGAUAUUAUAGCUCUUCAUCGGUGUCAUCGAUCACGUCGUCGGAACCACGUCUAUCGAGAGGGAACAAACACCGGCAACUGAGAAAGAACACAAUCAAUGUGAUGCCACAAUAUGAUGCAUGAUCAUGACAUGGCAAUAUGCUGUGAUUUGAGCUAAUGCAUCUAGCUAUGAUUUAAAUGAAGUUGGUUUGAAUACAUGAUUCAAAUUCCAACCCCAUAUAUGAUUAUUUGAAUGCCCUUUAUUUGUUUUGUCCAAAACAGAGGACAAACAUUGUUCAAACAUGCAUGAAAAUUGUACAGAUGGAUUUCUUGAAUUUUUCUGAUAAUUUUUCAUAUAUAAUUUAUUUCAUUUGGAGUUACGGUUGAUUUUCUAUGAUUUUUAGAAGUUAGAAGUAUUUUCUGAAAUUCAUAAAUCCUUUUCUGAUUUAUUCUAAUUUCCAAAAAACAGUAACAACGUCAGCAUGAUGUCAGGAUGACAUCAGCGGUCAACAGACCUGGUCCUGGUCAAACUUGAUCCUGGGGGCCCGCAUGUCAUAGACUCAGUGUUAAGUGGAUAUUAAACCGGGGCUAAAUAUCUGCGGGGNNNNNNNNNNNNNNNNNNNNNNNNNNNNNNNNNNNNNNNNNNNNNNNNNNNNNNNNNNNNNNNNNNNNNNNNNNNNNNNNNNNNNNNNNNNNNNNNNNNNNNNNNNNNNNNNNNNNNNNNNNNNNNNNNNNNNNNNNNNNNNNNNNNNNNNNNNNNNNNNNNNNNNNNNNNNNNNNNNNNNNNNNNNNNNNNNNNNNNNNNNNNNNNNNNNNNNNNNNNNNNNNNNNNNNNNNNNNNNNNNNNNNNNNNNNNNNNNNNNNNNNNNNNNNNNNNNNNNNNNNNNNNNNNNNNNNNNNNNNNNNNNNNNNNNNNNNNNNNNNNNNNNNGGGGGCUAAUUAAGCACAUGCUUAACUCUAAACUAAUGACACCAUGUCAUCUAAAUGGUGAUUAGUCGCCGGUGCUAAGCGAGACGCAGCGGUGCUCCCCGUCCGGCCAUCUCCGGCGAUGAGAGCAAGCGUAGCUGGGCUCUAUGUACUCAGGGCGACGCGACGCAUCGAGUGGUGGAUGCGGCAGGUGUGGAGGCUGGCUUUAGCGACGGUGACGACGAGCUUUGGCAGAGGCCGGAGCUCGGGUUCGGUCGCGCGCGAGGCUGCGGCGCGUUAGCCAGAGCGCAGAGGGGCGCAUCAGGAUCCUGGGGACCCGGCGAGCACGCGGGAGCUACUAGAGCGAGCGGAAGAGCUCCGGGGCGCGAGGUUUUUCGUCCAUGGCGAUAGCCGGAGCUCGGUGCUUGCGGGGAUGACGGCUACGGCGCGGGAACGAGCAGGAGAGGAGGGGGAAAACGAAGGAGUCCUCACAGCGAAGUCGUUGAGCAUCUCAGACGGCUUGGGGACGGCUUGGCGACGGUGAAUCGGAGCCGGCGAUAUUCGGUGCCCGUCAGUGAAGACGACGACGAUGGCGUUACUGUAGGGCUCCCGGCAUCAUGUGCGUUGACGAAGACGACGUACACGACGAGUGCGGAGCUUCAGACAAGUGGGGAGGCGAGGGGAGGCCACUAGGCACGGCGGCGGUGAGCUGCGUGCUGCGGGUGUGCUCGGGCGGCUGCGGAGAGAGAGCCAGAGCGGUGGGGAGAGGCCAGAGAGGCGGGGGAGUGGGCGAGGGGGUGCUGGGCGUCUCCAGGCACGGACUAGGACGAAGGAGCGGCCUCCAGUGCGAAGCAGGAGGUGGAAGGCUCCGCGGGUGCGCGCGCGUGUUCGCUCCUGCCUACUGGCAGGAGGAAGACAACGAGCGAGGAGGUAAGUGGGCUGGGCCGGCUUCUCUCCUGGGCCAGGUGGGUAGGCUGCUCAGGUGAGCUCCUGUUUCCUUUUUGUUUCUGUUGUUUUUUUAUUUAAUCUUUUGCCACUGUUUCAAAAUUCAAAAUGAAUUCAAAACAGUGCCAAAACACUCUGAAAUAUUUUAUGUUACCUCUCUGGACUAUUCCAAAAGUACAUAAAACAUUUCAAAGCAUUUGAAAAUAUAUUCAUUAUAUAUUAUGAAUAUAUCCCCAAAUUCAAAUAGAUUAUUGAUUUAAAUUCAGAGACCAAAUAAUUCCUUAAAAAUUUCCUAGAAUUUUGGUUUGAUAUAUAACUCUUGCCAAAAUUCGCAAAACUAUUUUUAGGGCAUUUUGGAUUCACAGAAUGCUAUUUAAAGGGUUCUUGCCCUUCUUUUAAAAUAAUUUAUGAGGCUUUGAAUAUUCCUCAUUUCAAUUUCUUGAAUUAAACAUGAUGCAUGCUCACUGAUGCAACUAUUACACUCAGAUAUUCUAGGGCUGUGACAACUCGCCCCCACUAAACAAGAAUCUCGUCCUGAGAUUCAAGACGUGAGGUAAGAAGACAGAGGGAACACAAAGCUAGCACAAUCUUCAUGAUCCAGGUUGCACUUCAUAAGAACGUUGAUUCGAUCAUCACCUUUGCCUAGACGUCUUGCUCUGAGAACUCCAUCCAACACGAUGAUGACAAAAGGAAAAUCUAUAGGAAUUGAUUUUCUAAAAAAUCAAGCGAUACACGAUAAACUCAUGGAAUGAGACGUUGAUUCAUCUCUUGAUCUAAGAGACAAAGACACAUCAAGAGGGAUGGAGAGAACAAAUAAUGGAAGUUCAAUUUGGUAGGAAACACUCCCACGCUUGAGUAGGAUGGUGCAUAGGUUUCAAGGUAGCGAGGAGUUGAUUACCAUGAUUCCAUAACGGGGCACCUCAAGGGCGACGACUCGUAGAAUUAUUCCCUUAAGUGGCAAAAAGAAUUACUUUUGAUUCGGAGAUCAUUGAAACUCUUUAUACCAGCCUAAGGCAAUCACAAUCGAUCAUUUGAAGGAGUUCAAAAGAAUGACAUACUUGGACUAGAAAGGAUGAUGUGGACUCCCUUGUUGAAGACAACGCAAUGGAUGAUUUUCCUUAUCAUCGGAAAUGGAUGGGACCCAUGGUAAGUCCACUUUUGAAGAUGAUCCUGAACAACAACUACGGAGGUGCAAGCUGGGAACAAAAUGCAAAUGUUGGGAAUGAUUCUGGUAACUAGGGAAGAACUCAACAGCCGAGAGUGAGUCCACUGUUUGAAAAGGUUAUAACAUAACCGAGGAAACUGGAAGCAAAUCCCAGUUAACGCCAAUGGUAAAACCUAGUGCUUGCGCGUGCUCUCAAGAACUUGAGCAUCUCCAUAUUUAUCAAGGUUUUACCAAUAUCCGUGUCAAGGAUCCUGGCAACACAACAUACCACCAUGAUGAAUGGUGAUGGAUGAUGCAGAUGCAAAGGAAGAUAACACUUUCUCAGAUUUCACCUUAGCGAGGCCAAGGGAACAAAAUCUGGAUGAUCGACCAAGAGACAUAUAGCACUCCGCUUCCAAUGUUCUCCUUGAUGUGCUAGUGUAUCCCAUUCAUUGAUAUGGUUUGAUAUAUAGAAUAUCAGGUAAAAGGUCGGACUUCGGGAGCACAAGAAUCCGUAAAUAUUAACUACGAAGGUAAACCCUACGAAAUCCUCAUGGGGAGGUGGCCAACUUUCUUCAAUCGAGAUACUACAAUAAUAGGACUUCCGGCUGGAUGUGUUGGCCACGACAUCCACUUUACCGGUUACCGAGGGACCAAUAUUAUAGUUCUUGGAAAAUGCUCCAACCAUCAUAUUUGCCUGAGAUUCAGAUCUGGUUGGUGUCAGGAUAUUCCAGACUCAUCGAGUCUAGAAAGGAAAAUGGAAGUUUGCAACACAAAUCGACGAGACGACGUUGCGAGAUUCUCAGGGAAUGAACUGCGAUAGCAAGCUCCAAAACAUGAGCUGGUUCUGCUACAACAUGUGAACACGUUGUCCUAGACAAGUAUGACCACAUAGUAGUCUUAUAAUAAAACACUACCGAGUUCUGGUGGGGAACCAUCAUCGAGGAUAACAAAGUCCUUGCAUAAGGCAUGCUCUUAAGAAGGAACUUCUUCUCCUAGAACAAAUCAGUCAGUGGCUUGGUGUGCUAGGGACACAUAUGGACUGGAGGUAGUGAGCCUAUCAAACCAUAUAAUACUUUGCACAUGCAUGACUAACUUGGGAUGAUUCCAAAGGAAGCAAAACAAGCUUUCUCAAAUCCACGGCGGCAAAUUGCAUCAUAUACACAUGAAUUAGAGGAAGUCACAUCUUUCAACCGGACAUAUGCUUCAUGAAUGGGACAUGAGGGCAAUGCUUAUAAAGUUUCCAACACUAGUAUAAUGUUCAACAUGAAUCACGGGGGAGACAAAAUGCUGCUGAUGGGCUCAACAGCAACUCAUCAGAAUUUCCAUAUCACUGGACUUCCACCAUCAUGUGAACACGGUGAUAGCAUUGGUCAGACCCAAAGAUAUAAUGGUGUAUGCUCGAGGGAUCAAGCAUGAGUAAGACAACAUUAUGAGCAUCAUUGGUUCUGAUUUGACUUGAGGAUAGCCCACACUCAAAUCAAAGUUUGGACAAGACAAUAGAUCCAACAAUUUAUCACGAUGAUCAAUCAAUGAAGAUAUCAUCUUUCUUCAACUAACACACAAACACAAGGAUAUCCCUUUGGAACGAACUAAGUCAGGCAAGCUUUUAUCUUCCAACUCUCCAAGUUGUUGUUUAGCUUAACCGACUAGCUCAGGGGUAUCCAACACAGAUUCUUGGAGAAAGGGGUGGCUACAAGAAACCAACUUGAUCACAAACUCAACAUAGCGGUCAGGUGACAACCUGGUAACACUUCCGAGAAGAUAUUCGGAAAAUCACUAACCACCGAUAUGUUACUAAGCUCGAGAACAAUCUUGCUUUUUAGGGCAAGAUGAUGUGAUCCAGAGAAUGAUGGAUUAACACAAUCCUAUCUCGUUGAUCGAGGAGUGCACCAGGGAAAAUGGACUAGGUCGCACGAUAAAUCUUAGGAUGAUGAUUCAAUAACCAACACACAAAGAAUAAAAUUAUUGUCCAUUAACUACCAAGCAACAGAGUUGCUAGGAGUAUUGAUUUCACACAUCAUAGUUCACUUGUCAGCAUUCCAGUUACAGCUAACACGGAAACCGAGGAAUGAACAAUGAUGGCAAGAAGUAUCACUGCAACAAGAAUUCAUAAGAGAUGGUGCAAAUCUCAUGAUAUUCCUGACAUAAAGUGGAUAAUACUUCAGGGUAGAACAGACCAAUAGCUUGAUUGCAUUUGAUCUGCGAAAUACAACUGCUUUGACCCAUCCUAGAAAUGGAUGAGGUACUGGAGUUUGUUUCUCCUAGUCAUUCCAGAAUAGAAUGGCUUGACAGACCAUAAGAAUAAGAGGUAUCGAUGAGCAUGAAUGCAAGACAUGCUCUUAACUAUCAAAUGAUAGACGGAGAUCAUGAUACAACUAAAGAGGGACAACUCAAGGAACAUAUAUCUUUCUGAGUUGUAGAUGCAUAGAUUAGUAUGUCGAGCAAAGCUCAACAUUCCUUCCGGAUAACCCAUGUAGAAAGGUAGAACUGGCAGAGUCACAACAUAGAAUGGAGACCUCAUCAAGAGCACUCUUGUUGUGAUCAUUGGUUCAAAGAUCUUCUGCCAUAAUGGUUCAUGGUAUUUGGAAGAAGGAAAUACCACAGACCUCGAGGACUAUCGCAAAGGUUACUAAUAUCCUAAAGGUACGAGCAACACUAUCAACACGAGGUAAGUAGAGUGGAUCUUGGGUCAGGAACACAGGAGUGGAAUACCUACUACUAGAUGGCAUCACGAGAUGCUUUCGAGAAUAAUGGCUAGAAUCAUCACACUAUAAAUACAAAACAUGGCUAGGUUACUAGAUGAUCCCCUAGGACACCUAGGGUCAUAAUAAUAAUUCCAACAUAUAUGUCGAGGCAAUAGAAUACGUCAACUCAGCAAUUAGUGUGGUUAAACUGGCCCAAAGAAACAUCGGGAACGGAAAGAAGGGAUUUGCAAAUGCAUCAGACUAUUUUAGAAACCUGGGAUGACUCGGACAGCAUAACGGCUGUAAAUGCUCAAAAUGAUUUGAGACAUCUUGCAAAAAUGGUGGCAUAACCACUCAACAUCACCAUAUCAAGGUUCUGAGGCCAACAAUGAACAUAUGGAAGUAGUAGGAACUGAAUUGAGGCUUGAACUCAACAAUCCUAGGAAACUAUGGUUUAGUAACACGUCAUCCUGAGAGAUAGAAGAGAAGCCUAGUUCUUAACCCCGUAGAAAAGAUAAGAUGACUCAGAUCAGAAGGUCAUGAGGAUAAGGAGUAAAAAGAGCCUUACGUUCCCAUCCACAAUCAAUUCCCUUAUAUAACUAAAGCAUUUCUAGACAUGACUUCAACCAGCUUGGCUUGGUAAUCCUACAGGCAGUCAGGCUCUGAUACCAAAGCUGUCAGGACCCCGAUUCCAAGUCACAUCGAUCUAGCAUGUAACACCUCAUAUCGCUUUGCGGCCUCACUCACGGUAUUCCCACGGGUGUCGCCUUACUAUGGCCCGGGACCGUUUGCGUCUUUUGUCUCACGUAUAUGAUAGUGUCGCUAAUCCAUAUGACAGAGAACCCGGGCCGACAUGGCUAGUCGUGAACCCAAAGCGGCACCAACCUAUGGGGACAGGCAUACAUGUAUCACAUCGAGCAUGUCGGUCAGCAGCGUGUGAAUCCGGGCUGUAGCACUGGGCUAACAGGACUCCAGAAACUCGGGCUGUAGCAGGCUAGGCAGGACUCCGGAUGUCACCGCGUGACAUUUCCCCGAAGGCACAGACACAGGAACAAAGUGAAACACAUGCCGGCCAGUCAAGUGUCCUAAGCAGUAGUGCUGGGCUAGCAGGACUCUGGUGAACCGGGCUAUAGCGGACUACUAUGGCUAAUGGAAGCACAAGACUACAUUUCCCCAUAAGAGAGGCUACCAAGGAUAAACAACUAGGUUGUCGGAUCCCACACAUACCAAGCAUUUCAAUCAUACACACAAUAUGCUCGAUAUGUGUAAAUACAACAUGGCAUCACAACAUAACUCUACGACUCAAGUAUUUAUUCAUUAGGCUCCAAAGAGCGAGAUAUUACAAACAUGGGUCUCACGACCCAACAUUCAGAGCAUACAAGUCAAAGCACAUCGGAAGCUUAACUUGUCUGAGUACAGACAACUAAAAAUGAAGAAGGCUGAGGAGCCUGACUAUCUACCAGACCCUCCCAAGGAUACAAGAUCGUCGCUGAGGUAACAAGCUAAACGUCGAAGCCCACAUGGAACUACUAGCGAGAAUGAAGUCUCUCUGCAAAACAUAAAAUAAGCAAACGUGAGUACAAAUGUACCCAUCAAGACUUACAUCAGAACUAACUACAUAUGCAUCGGUAUCAACAAAGAGGGUGGUGGAGUUUAAUUGCAGCAAGCCAGCUUUGACUCAGUGGCUAACCUGAACUACGACUGCAAGUAACUCUUUUGAGGUGGCGCACACGAGUCCACAAAUUCACCAUACCAAUACACCACUAUGGAUCCGCUCCCGUCUCCCUGCGAGAACGCUAUCCAUAGCACUCACGCUUAUCUUGCGAGUUUUAGAGUAUCCACUUUCACUUGUCCAUGAACUAUGCAAGGGGUCCAAGUUUCCAUAUCCGAGGAAUCCGGCUAUUCGAAUAGAUAAUGAGAACCCUGCAAGGGUGUACUUCUUCACACACGCUCUCGCCACUUAUCGCCCUGUACACGUCAUGUACCUCGGCAACCUUCAAGCGGAAGCCGGGAAAGGGAGUCGGCCACGACCUGACUAACCAACAAGUCUCUAGUCCAGGUUUAUCGCCUAUUCGGGUUCCAUUCGCAAGGAGAUCCGGCCGGGGUGUCGCUCACGGCCCCAAACGAUGUGUGCAGGGUUCCCAAGCCCACCAUCCGGGUGCCACUUGGUACACCGUGCCACUGUGCCUAGUCUGUCCCAAGCCCACCUAUACCGGGUGCCACUUGGUAGACUACUAACACUACCUACAAACACCAGAAACUAGUUGCAACUCCUGGACAGAGAUCGAGUUGAUUAAUAAGCUGAGAGGGGCCGAGUUACUGGAACCCAAUGUGUGGUAGUAACUGUUCAUGGAUCACAAACACAGAACUCAGUUCCUGAGAACGGCUGCAAUGAGACAACCCACCAUGUACUUCUAGAUGGCCUCUCACCGCUACCUUUACCAAAUCGUGUUCACACACUUAGCUCUCAACGGUAGGACAUGUUCACCAUGUUCCAAUUCAUUCCCGAUGAAUCAGGCCUGACUCAACUCUAAGCAGUAGCAGGCACGAAAACAAGCAUGAAUGAGUAGGCACAUCAAGGCUCAAACAACUCCUACUCAUGCUAGUGGGUUUCAUCUAUUUACUGUGGCAAUGACAGGUCAUGCAGAGGAAAGGGGUUCAACUACCGCAACAUGUAACAGUUGAAUCGGUGUUGUCCUAAUGCAGUAAAAGAGAGCAGGUGCGAGAGAGUGGGAUUGUAUUGGAAUGAACAAGGGGGUUUUGCUUGCCUGGCACUUCUGAAGAUAUUAUAGCUCUUCAUCGGUGUCAUCGAUCACGUCGUCGGAACCACGUCUAUCGAGAGGGAACAAACACCGGCAACUGAGAAAGAACACAAUCAAUGUGAUGCCACAAUAUGAUGCAUGAUCAUGACAUGGCAAUAUGCUGUGAUUUGAGCUAAUGCAUCUAGCUAUGAUUUAAAUGAAGUUGGUUUGAAUACAUGAUUCAAAUUCCAACCCCAUAUAUGAUUAUUUAAAUGCCCUUUAUUUGUUUUGUCCAAAACAGCGGACAAACAUUGUUCAAACAUGCAUGAAAAUGGUACAGAUGGAUUCCUUGAAUUUUUCUGAUAAUUUUUCAUAUAUAAUUUAUUUCAUUUGUAGUUACGGUUGAUUUUCUAUGAUUUUUAGAAGUUAGAAGUAUUUUCUGAAAUUCAUAAAUCCUUUUCUGAUUUAUUCUAAUUUCCAGAAAAUAGUAACAACGUCAGCAUGAUGUUAGGAUGACAUCAGCGGUCAACAGACCCGGUCCUGGUUAAACCUGAUCUUGGGGGCCCGCAUGUCAUAGACUCAGUGUUAAGUGGAUAUUAAACUGGGGCUAAAUAUCCGCGGGGCCGGCGUGUCAGUGACUGUGUUGGGGGGGGGGGCUAAUUAAGCACAUGCUUAACUCUAAACUAAUGACGCCAUGUCAUCUAAACAGCGAUUAGUCGCCGGUGCUAAGCGAGACGCAGCGGCGCUUCCCGUCCGGCCAUCUCCGGCGACGAGAGCAAGCGUAGCUGGGCUCUAUGUACUCAGGGCGACGCGACGCGUCGAGUGGUGGAUGUGGCAGGUGUGGAGGCUGGCUUUAGCGACGGCGACGGCGAGCUUUGGCAGAGGCCGGAGCUCGGGUUCGGUCGUGCGCGAGGCUGCGGCGCGUUAGCCAGAGCGCAAAGGGGCGCAUCGGGAUCCUGGGGACCCGGCGAGCACGCGGGAGCUACUGGAGCGAGCGGAAGAGCUCCGGGGUGCGAGGUUUGUCGGCCAUGGCGAUGGCCGGAGCUCGGUGCUUGCAGGGACGACGGCUACGGCGCGGGAAUGAGCAGGAGAGGAGGGGGAAAACGAAGGAGUCCUCACAGCGAAGUCGUUGAGCAUCUCAGACGGCUUGGGGACGGCUUGGAGAUGGUGAAUCGGAGCCGGCGAUCUUCGGUGCCCGUCGGUGAAGACGAUGACGAUGGCGUUACUGUAGGGAUCCCGGCGUCAUUUGCAUUGACGGAGACGACGUACGCGACGAGUGCGGAGCUUCCACACAAGUGGGGAGGCGAGGGGAGGCCACUAGGCACGGCGGCGGUGAGCUGCGCGCUGCGGGUGUGCUCGGGUGGCUGCGGAGAGAGAGCCAGAGCGGUGGGGAGAGGCCAGAGAGGCGAGGGAGUGGGCGAGGGGGUGCUGGGCGUCUUCAGGCGCGGACUAGGACGAAGGAGCGGCCUCCAGCGCGAAGCAGGAGGUGGAGGGCUCCGCGGGUGCGCGCGCGUGUUCGCUCCUGCCUACUUGCAGGAGGAAGACAACGAGCGAGGAGGUAAGUGGGCUGGGCCGGCUUCUCUCCUGGGCCAGGUGGGUAGGCUGCUCAGGUGAGCUCCUGUUUCCUUUUUGUUUUUGCUGUUUUUUAUUUAAUCUUUUGGCACUGUUUCAAAAUUCAAAAUGAAUUCAAAACAGUGCCAAAACACUCUGAAAUAUUUUAUGUUACCUCUCUAGACUAUUCCAAAAGUACAUAAAACAUUUCAAAGCAUUUGAAAAUAUAUUCAUUAUAUAUUAUGAAUAUAUCCCCAAAUUCAAAUAGAUUAUUGAUUUAAAUUCAGAGACCAAAUAAUUCCUUAAAAAUGUUCUAGAAUUUUGGUUUCAUAUAUAACUCUUGCCAAAAUUCACAAAACUAUUUUUAGGGCAUUUUGGAUUCAGAGAAUGCUAUUUAAAGGGUUCUUGCCCUUCUUUUAAAAUAAUUUAUGAGGCUUUGAAUAUUCCUCAUUUCAAUUUCUUGAAUUAAACAUGAUGCAUGCUCACUGAUGCAACUAUUACACUCAGAUAUUCUAGGGCUGUGACACAAAGCAUCAGCAAUAACAUUUUCUUUACCCUUCUUGUGUUUAAUGACAUAAGGGAAAGUCUCAAUGAAUUCAACCCAUUUAGCAUGUCUACGGUUUAGUUUUGCUUGACUUUUAAUGUGUUUCAAUGAUUCAUGACCAGAAUGUAUAACAAAUUCUUCGGGCCAUAAAUAAUGUUGCCAUGUUUCUAAGGUCCGAACAAGAGCAUAUAAUUCUUUAUCAUAAGUAGAAUAGUUCUGACUAGGCCCACUCAAUUUUUUUGAAAAGUAUGUAACAGGUUUGCCAUCUUGUAAUAACGCACCUCCUAAUCCAAUUCCACUAGCAUCACAUUCAAGCUCAAAAGUCUUAUUAAAAUCAGGAAGUUGGAGUAAAGGAGCAUGUGUCAACUUAUCUUUCAAUACCGUGAAGGCUUCUUCCUGUGCGGUACCCCAAACAAAAGGCACAUCCUUCUUUGUAAGCUCGAUGAGAGGUGCAGCAAUGGUGCUAAAAUCUCUCACAAAACACCUAUAGAAUCCAGCGAGGCCAAGGAAACUCCUCCCUUGUGUGACUGUUUUGGGCUGCGGCCAACUCUCGAUAGCUUCAAUCUUGGCUUUAUCAACUUCAAUUCCCUGUGGAGUAACAACAUAGCCAAGAAAAGAUACUCGGUCGGUGCAAAAGGUGCACUUUCCAAGGUUACCAAACAAACGUGCAUCACAUAGAGCAAUAAAAACAGCACGUAAAUGUUCCAAAUGUUCCUCCAAAGAUUUGCUAUAAAUCAAUAUGUCAUCAAGUAAACUACCACAAAUCGUCCAAUGCAAGCAUGUAAAACUUCGUUCAUUAAUCUCAUGAAAGUACUAGGUGCAUUAGUUAACCCAAAAGUCAUGACUAACCACUCAUAUAAUCCAAACAUAGUUUUAAAUGUUGUUUUCCAUUCAUCUCCCAAUUUCAUACGAAUUUGAUGGUAUCCACUACGCAAAUCAACUUUGGAGAAUAUUGUAGAGCCACUCAAUUCAUCAAGCAUAUCAUCUAGCCUAGGAAUAGGUCGGCAAUAACGAAUAGUAAUAUUAUUAAUGCCUCUACAAUCAACGCACAUACGCGACGUACCAUCUCAUUUCGGCAAUAAAAUGAUAGGAACAACACAAGGACUAAGGGAUUCGCGUAUAUAACCUUUGUCGAGCAUUUCUUGUACUUGACACAUAAUCUCCUUCGUCUCCUCUAGAUUGGUAUGGUAUGGUGCAUGGUUGGGUAAUGAUGCACCGGGAAUUAAGUCAAUUUGAUUUUCAAUCCCUCUAAUAGGUGGUAAUCCCGGUGGCACGUCUUGUGGAAAGACGUCAGCAAACUCCUGCAAAAUGUUAGUGAGAGCAGGACGCAAAGAGGAAGGCACGUCCUCGAAUGAAAAUAAUGCAUAUUUGCACACAAAAGCAUAGCAAACAGAUUUGCUAAAAUCUAGAUCAUCAAUAUCAGAUUUGGUGGCAAGUAAACAUGCACUUUUCAAUUUAAUUUCAGAAAAAACACUAGAUGGUUUAUUAUUAGGCUUCAUUUGUUGCUCAAAUUCUUUUGCCACAAUCCGAUUUUCACUCUUAUUUUUCUCCUGUUUUGCUUUAUUAGAUCUAUUAAUAUCAUCUUUCAAAAUGGAAUCAGGAUUCAUAGGAAGCAAAGUAAUAUUUUUAUCCUUAUGAACAAGAGUAUACUGAUUGUUUCUACCAUGGUGUACGGAUUUUUUAUCAAAUUGCCAUGGUCUACCAAGUAAUAAGGAACAUGCUUGCAUAGGUACCACAUCACAAUCAACAUAAUCAUCAUAUGUAGAGGCACUAAAAUGCACACGAACAGUACGUGUUACCUUAACCUUGUUGCUGUUGUUGAACCAUUGGAUGUAGUAAGGAUGUGGAUGUGGUCUUGUGGUGAGAGAUAGCUUCUCCAACAUCUCCAUGCUAGCCAAGUUAUUGCAGCUCCCUCCAUCUAUGAUGACGCGAACAGAACGUUCGUUCACAACUCCCUUUGUAUGGAACAAAUUAUGCCUCUGAUUUUGCUCAGCUUGUGUAACCUGCAAACUCAAAACAUGUUGAGCAACUUAACAUUCAUACCUGUCAGCAUCUUCAAUAGCCAUGUAUUGCGUCUCAUGAUUAGAAUCCUCUCGACUGUGUUCUUCAUGUGUAAUAAGAGCCAAAGUCUCCUCAUCAUAGUCACUAGUGGACUCAUACCCACCAUCCUCAGUAACAAUCAUCACACGCUGAGAUUUGCAUUCUCUCGCAAAAUGUCAUCUUCCCUUACAACGACGACAAAUAAUAUCACUUGUGUGCCCUGUUGAUGCCAUGGAAGAAGAAGAACUCUGUGCAGGCCCAGCAGGUGUGCUCUUGGCAGAUAGUGGUGGUUGUGCCUGCUUUCUUGUAUCACGGCUAGAUGUGGCACCUGAUGGAGGUGCUAGUGCAGUGGAAAUAUAGGAUGCACGUGGUGUCCAUGAUGAAGAUCGACCUGCUGAAAAGUUAGUUCGCUCCAAUGCCUGUCGAUCCUGCACUUCAUGUUCAGCUUUACAAGCAAGAUGGAAUAAACGAGUGAUAUUAGUAUACUCCUUAUACUCUAGAAUGGUAUGAAUCUCUCUAUUUAAUCCACCCAUAAAAUGUGCAAGCAUAGCUUCAUUCUCCUCAACAAUACCACAUCUAAUCAUGCUAGUUUGUAAUUCCUGAUAAUAUUUUUCUACAUAAUUUUUGCUUGUCUUAAACACUGCAAUUUUUGAAGUAAUUCACGUUGAUAAUAUGGUGGAACCCAACGAGUAAGCAUAGCAGUUUUCAAAGCAGCCCAAGUAGCUGGAAUAGGAUAUAAUCUACAAUGUUCAGACCACCAAACACAUGAGAAACUAGUGAAAGCACAAACAGCAGCAGGAACACGUCUCUCCUCAGGAUAUUGUAAGCAUGUAAAUCGUUGUUUAGUUUCUAACUCCCAAGUAAGAUAUAUAUCAGGAACAUAUCUACCCUCAAAUGGUGGAAUCUUCAAGUGCAGUUUAGGGAGAUGGUCAUGAUCACGUACCUGAGGUGGUUGUGCAGCCCUACCAUUGCGAUGAUAUGCAUGAGGAUGACCUGGUGGCGGUGGUGCUGGUGGUUGCAUGUAGUUCUGAUUUUGAUCAACCCCAUCCUCAUAAUGGUCCUCCACCUCUGCACUAGCAGCAGGAGCUACAGAAGCAUCAACAGCGGCACCAGAAUUUUGACCAGGCUCAAGGGGAAUGCGCAGUGCCCGUCCCACUUGAUUUGGAAGGCAAUGUUGUUGUUUUGUUGUUGUUGUUGUUGUAGAGGUGCGUUAGGUGCAGCUGCUGGUGGUGGUGGAAGACUCGCGAGCAAUUCAUUAAACUUGUUAUCGAGCUUUGUUUUGAACAUCUUCUCAAUGCCAUCUAUCUUCUCCAUGGCCUCUUCAAAUCUGUUUAGCACAUCUUGCACCUGUCCACUAAUCAUUUGCUGAAAUUUAUCAUGUAGUUCUUUGUUCAUCAUAUUCUCCCAAUCUGUCUCAUCGGCUUGUGAUCCUGCCAUGGUUAGCAGCAAUAGAAACACAUAAGAAUAUGAUCCUGCCAUGGUUCUUACCCAACCGCAGGUGGUGAUCGGCAACCGUGGUAGUCAAAACUCUCAAAGAUUGGAUAGAGCGAUUGCCAGGUGGUGUCAAACGCACGAUGUAGAUGUAUGUGGAGCUCGGAAGGCUUAUGAUAUGGUAGCAAAAAUGUCAGCAAUAAUCAAUUCAGUGAUGCAAAGUUGAAUAAACGCUCAAUGACGGUAUUGUGCUGGUCCUAGGCUAGACUGUACUAGAGACGCGAGCCUAGAACACGAACAAAAUCAUGGCGCGACAUGUAAACAAGGAGGAGCACUCUCUGAAUUUUUUUCCUUUUUUAACUUUUUCCUCUCUUUUUUUGCUCCGCAACAAUUUUUUUCGAAAAAGUCCACAAAUGGUCUAAAAACUGUCUAGCCAGAAUUUUCCAAACUUCGUUUUUCCUCUUUUUUUGAGUUUGGAACUAUUUUUCUACUGCGGGUAGCACGGAAUCUCAGGAGUCCUACUCUGUCAUGACUCGGAGUAUGGCGUGAUCUGGAACUCAAAAACAAAGCAACAAAUACUGGACUCGGACUAGGACUGGUGGCGAAGAUGAAUCUGGUGGAACUCGGACUGGUGGUAUAUCUGGACUCGGAUUGGUGGUGGUAUAUGGCGAUGGUAUAUGUGGACUCGGAUUGGUAGUUGUAUAUGGCAGCGGCGAUGUAUAUGGUGGGGUGGUGGUAUAUGGUAAUGAUGACGACGAUGGUGCGGCGGCGGCGUGACAACCUGUGAACAGAACUCGAAACUCUAAGGGACUAGACGCUAAGACCAGCAACUCGACACGACGAUGCAACCACAAAUUCAACAAAGCAAAACUCUAAAAAGACUAUGCAAAGAGCUAACCCUAAUUUUUUUGGCUUUUUCGUGGACUAUAGGUAUGAAGAACAAACUCGACCUAAACUAUGAAAAACUGAAAAAUCUCAUCGAGCAACCUGGAAAUCUGAUACCACUUGAUAGAGGCGAAGGUGUCCCGAUGUUUCGAUGAGAUGGUGGAUAUCAUUUUCUAUGGGAGUCGACCUUGAAGAUCCGACUACGAACGUGCGAGACGUCGUGCCUUAGCAAUCGCUAAACCAACUUCCGAGGGUUAUUGACCAUGCCGGAGCACGAUCAACCUGACCACGAGGGUCUGUUUCCUGUGAGCAAACAAAGAACAAGCAAGAAAUAGAGAUUGCAAUCUAGAUAUUGCAUAUAUAAGAGGAAAGCUUUAUUGAUCAAGGUGGGGUUCUGUCACGCCUUUGUCUGGUGAUUGAACACAAACGAAGUACGCGAAGUUGCAGCUAUGGUGAACUUUACUCUAAACAAAACCCAAAGUCUAAAUGACACCCUAAGGGCUGUAUAUAUGGAGGAAGAGGGAGGGAUUUCGUGGCCCUUGGAGGAGGGGUCCGAAACCAACCCUAACUCUUGUUUCCCCACACAUACGGACUCUAAAAACAGCCUAUACUUAAGUAUUUCGAAAAUACAUGCGCCUGGCCCAAUAAUAAGGUGACGCAGCACCUAAAAUAGCCUCUGGACGAAAUUUAUGAAGGGCAUCUUGUAUAUUUCGUCCAAGGCUUCAUGCACUCCUUAUGGUGUCUUCAAAGUUCUGAAAUCAUCACUUGUAACUCCGUUCUUGAGCCCCUUGCGCAUGCCAUCAUCUCCAUGCUUGAACUUGAUCCAAGGUUCAUAUUUCUUGUCCAAGCUAGGCCCUUCAUUUGUAAGCAAAACAAAUGUAUCCAAUUUAGGCAGCAUCAUAUUCUCAUGAACAUUAGAAUCAUUACCAAGAAACGAAAGUACCUGAUAAUUCAAUUGGCGUGCGCAAGCUCUAGUAAUUGGUCCUGUAUGUAUAGUAGCAGGGGCUAUGGGUGUAACAAUGGUAUUGAUGUCCUCAUCACCGGCCCUUGGCCCAGAUGUCCGACCGCUGUAGCAUUAGCAGCUCCGUCUUCUUCCGUUGUCGCUUCUAGGCUUCCCUCGCGGAUGGUGUAGUUGUACCUUGGCGCUUGCAUUCCUCCUCAUCGUCCGUAGUGUUCCGAAAAUACCUAUGCAUGCACACGAGUGGAGUGUCAAGUAAUAUACCAUCCUCGAAGGGGUCAAGUGAGCACGUGUAAAGGAGAUGAUUCACCUUUGGGUAUGUGAAGUAGAUGUCGCACGUGUCACUCGCCGAACAGACUCUUGACAUGGUGAUGUCCAUAGGAUGCUCUGCAUCAUCUCCCCUCCCUUGGGAAACAUCCGACCUCGGAUCGAAAACCAAAUCACCAUGGGAAAGAGAUGGCUUCGCCGUGUAGAAGUGGACGUUCACCAAGUAGUUGUCAUCUUGAAGCUUGAAAUGGGCACUCUCCAAUGUCACACUGUCUUGUGAUUCCUUCAAAAGGAGUAAGGAUAACAAACACUUAGAAAAACAAAUGUGGUUAGCGUUAGUGCAAAACCAAGCAUUCAAGAGGUGAGUCACCAAACAAGUGUCGUCAUCAUGCAAAGCAUAUGGUGUGACAAAGGAUUGUGACAUGGCAUGUAAGCAUAUCAAUCAAGCACAAUAAAAGAUAUCAUGGGGACAAGCAUGUAAAUGUGAGGCAGUGAUGCAAAUAUGUGUAACAAGAGAAUAAGCAUCUACCUUAAAGUCAUAGCAAUCAUGAGCAAAGCGCUCAAUGAAAGGUCUAUGGUAGGCAUAAGAAGCAUUCACAACACCAAAUAAAAUGAAGUGUCUAAACACAUGGGUUAAGUGCAAGACAAUCCAAGCAUAAUGUGCAUGUGGUGUAGUGAAUAUUAUUUGGCACUCAACACAAUGGAAAGAGCAAUUGUUCAUCAUGUGUGAGGCAAUCAAGGCAAGCAUGUAGCAAUCAAUGGGACAUGGCAUAUGUGAAGUGAUGACAUUGUUGCAACCAAACAUAUGAUAGGAGCAAGUAAUCCAAGAAUUGGAUGCAACACACAAGGCAUAUAUAUCAUGAUGCAUGUAACGGUGAAAAUGACAAGUCGAAGCAAGAUCUCUAACAUGUGUGCAAUCAAGUGUUCCAAGAUGAACAAUAAGUCUCAUGGUGCAAGCAACACAAGUAGUAUGAUCCGUCAUAUCCACGCUCAAGAAAGAUGUCACCUUGUAGGCGUGUCCUUGUGCGUCCUUCACAAUGCCGAAGUACAAGCAAGUGCGAUGUAGAAUCGUUGUGGUAGAAGGUGGUUCGCUCUCAAGAGCUUGGAUGGUCAACUCAUGUGAAGUGGAAGUUGACACGAAGUCCAAGUAUCCUACACAUGCACAAAACAAAAGAAAGAACGUAUGCGCAUGGUAGAUAAACACAUCAUCCAUCAUGAUGGUUCUCUUCUCUUGCACAUAACCAUUAGAAGCACAAGUGCAUGAAUAAUAUGAUGCAACAACGGCAAUAUUCAUGGCACUAGGUAUAUGGUGCAAAGAGGUAAGAAAAGCAUGCUUCACAAGAGAAAUGUCAAAAUCUCCAAAUAUAUGCGAGAAUGCUAUGGAGGCAAACUCAUUAUCAAGACUAAAGGCAUAAUUGCACUCAAUACAUGGCAAAUCAUCUAGCAUGAGAGAGGCAACAUAUGGAGAUAUAUGACGGCAAGCAAUAACAAUCAUGUGAUAAGCAUGUAGAUGGUUGUCAUCAACCGCAUUAAAUGAGCAAGUACGAAUCAUCGGUGAUGCAACAUAAGCAAUCGUAGUAAUCAAGUUGUGCAAGCUAGUAGUGCGAAGAUGCAACAUACUAGAGGAAAUCAUUGCAAUCAUAUAAUGUGAGAAAAUAAUAGGAAUAGACAAUGCACAUGACAUAUCGCAAGCAUGAACACAAAGCAAGAUCGUAGUAUCAUCAUAGGCAUGGGGGACAAAGAAAAUAUGGCAAUAACAAGUGAUAUCUCCACCAAGCUUGCAAAUACACAUACAAGUAGUAGAAUCAAUCAUCAUGUGUAAUGCAAAGUAUGGGUCACAAAUGCAUGGCAAAGGCAUAGGAAUGAGCAUAUCAUGCAAAGUGAACAUGGCAAGAUGGGCAUAGAAUAUGUAAUGGACAAUAACCCAUAGCCAAGUGAGGGUCAUGUAGAAGAAAUGCGCGAAGUCUUUGCGCGGAGAGAGCAGUGGGAAAGACACUCCAUGGGAUCCCAAAUCAUCAUUGCUCUCUAGAGCUCAUUUUUUCAACUCGUGGGAUUGCGAGGUUGACAAGAAUUCGUGGGUACCUACACAAAAGAGACACAAACAAAAGAGAUUGUGUGUGUGGUAAAUGUCCACAUCAUCCAUCAUGUUGUGUAUGUGCACGUGAGAGUUAGCACAAGAUAAGCAUCGCUCAAAGAAAUUUGAUGCAUGGUAUAAGAACAUGUCAUCGGCCAUGAAAGAAUAGUUAUUGCCUAUAACACGAUGGGGACACAAAUUGAGAAUGCAAUUAUAUGGCACAUCAAUAGCAUGUUUAUUCAUGGGAAGCAUAUGGUGCACACAAGUAUUGGGAUCAUGCAAUGAAUGGGAUGAAUCAAAAUCUCCUAAAUUGUAUGAGGAAACUAUGGGGGUCUCCUCAUGAGCAAUAUUGGAAACAUCAUAUGGAGAAAAUGGACAACAUCCAAAACAAUGCAUAUCCGAAGCUAGGUGGUCAUGGCAUGGCAUAUGAGAUAAAUGAUGCAAAGGGAGCAUAUCAAUAUCAUCACAAGAAAAACAAAUACCAAUAACCAUGGGCUUGUCAUCUAUGCCAUAUGUGCAAAUUGGGUUCAUUUUAAUGGCAUAUGCAUAGUCACUAUGAAGAGAUUGCAAAUAUGACAUGUGAUCGAUCUCAUGCAUAGCAUAUGACAAGUCAAGCGGAUUGGCAAACAUGAUGUGACCGAGAGAAUUAGCACAAGAAAUCCUAUGUAACAUGGCAUCACAACUAAUAGACUCCACAUGACAAUCAUCAUACUCAUCAUAAAUGGGUAAAUCAUCACAUGGGGAAGUCACACUAGCAUGAAGAAUGGAAAUAGGUUGAUCAACAUCAUGCAAGCAAUCAUCGUCAAGAAUGUCGACUAGUGGGACUAGAGCAUCACCUUCACCUAUGUUACCUUUGUCAUUCCACUCAUAUGGUGCAGGUGAGGUGGGAAAGACCAAAUGGUGGUCAUCUUCAUCUUGAUGGAACCAUGUGGGUGGUCCAUCACAUUCCACCAUGGCCAACGUCUUGUCCAAAGGUAGGGUGAAGUCGUCGAGAAUCGGCGCGUCAUCAUAUAAGGGACCUAGCACCAAAUGAGAAGACACAAUAGAGGUAGAGGUCAAGUCGUUAGUGUUGAAAGUGGCCUCACAUGACCUAUCAACUAUCUCACUCUCUCUAUGUGGUGGUUCACUCACUCUCUCAAAAUAGGUGCACUCAAACUCACAUAUGAUGGAGUCACUCAUCCCACUCAAGAGGUGGGGGUUGUGGCUCUCCUCACAUGGGAAUUGUGGAAACACAUCAUAUAUGGGGCUAGCGGUGAAAUCACUCUCACUCUCAAUAUGGUGGCUAAAGUCACUCAAGUCAUCACAUGUCGCCGUGGUCGAAGGGAAAAUCCCAUGCUCAACCAUCUCGUUGUUGUCACCGUGGAUGAAGGCCAAAGAUGGCACAUCAUCACUCUCGCCUCCUAAGGUGGAAGCAUCAUCCUUGCUCGCCACCUCGCCACUCGCUUCCAAAGCUUGGUCCUUGAGGGUCUCCGUAGUCGUACUUGUAGCCGCACCAUCUUGAAAAAGAGUCAAAGUAGACUCGACAUCAUCAAUGCCACAAAGAGGGAUGGUGGUGAAGUCGAACUUGGGAGCAUCAUCUUGGAGCUCGUCGGGCUUGGACAUAUUGGUGGUACUAUCCUUGUGCUCGCCUUCUUGGAGCUUGGUCUUCGAGAAGUGUGCUUGGGGUCGAGAAGCCUUGGUCUUCAUGAGUUCUUGUUCCGCCUUGAGAGCACCAAUGUAGUUGUCAUCGAGGGACUUGUAGUUCUCGAGGAAGAUCGUCUUGGAGAUGUCGUUAUGUAAUCCCAUCAUGAAGUGGAACUUCAUCGAAAUGGGGUCGUCCAUGCCGGCUCGUCGUAAGGCAAUCUUCAUCUCCUUGAAGUACUCGUCGAUGGACUUGGAUCCUUGGAUGGUGUUCUCCAAUUGGCAUUGAAGUUGUUCCGUGUAGGUUGGGGGCAUGAACUCUUUCCACAAGGCUCUCUUCGUCUUGGGCCAACUCAUGUCGUAGGUCUUCGAAGGUGUGUGAAGUCACCAUCUGGACGCAUAGUCGUGGAAGUUCCUUGUGGCGCACUUCACUUGAUCUUCGGGAGGAACUUGAUGUAGCUUGAGGUAGUCGUCCAUCAAAUGCUCCCACUUGAGAUACUCCUAGGGUUCUUGAGUCCCAUAGAAAGGAAUCUUGUGGUCGGCAUCGAGGUCGUAGUAGCUCGUGGAAGUCGCGGACUUGAGCUUGGGGAGCUUCUCUUGAGCGUAGUCUUGAGGUGCUUGUUGGCGAAGAUGCCGUAUGUCCAUAGGAUCAUAUUCUUGUGUGUUUCUUUUGUUGCUAACCAUAGCAGGAUCACAAGCCGACGAGACUGACUGGGAUAACAUGAUGAAUAAGGAGUUGCAUGAUAAAUUCCAGCAAAUGAUGAGUGGACAGGUGCAAGAUGUGCUAAACAGAUUUGAAGAGGCCAUGGAGAAGAUAGAUGGCAUGGACAAGACAUUUGAAACAAAGCUCGAUAACAAGUUUAAUGAAUUGCUCGCGCGUCUUCUACCACCACCACCGGCUGCCCCUAACGCACCUAUACAACAACAACAACAACAACAGCGUCGCUUUCCAAAUCAAGUGGGAUGAGCACAGCGCGUUCCCAUUGACCCUGGGAAAAAUUAUGGUGCCGCUGUUGAUGCUUCUGUCGCUCCUGCUGCUACUGCAGUGGUGGAGGACCAUUACGAGGAUGAGGUUGAUCAAAAUCAGAACUACGUGCAACCACCAGCACCACCACCACCAAGUCGUCGUCAGGUAUAUCAUCGCAACAGUAGGCUGCACCACCAUAUGAGGUACGAGAUCAUGACCAUCUUCCUAAACUAAAGUCGAAUAUUCCACCACUUGAGGGUAGAUAUGUUCCUGAUAUAUAUCUUACUUGGGAGUUAGAAACUGAACAACGUUUUACAUGUUUACAAUAUCCUGAGGAGAGACGUGUUCCUGUUGCUGUUUGUGCUUUCACUAGCUUCGCAUGUGUUUGGUGGUCUGAACAUUGUAGAUUAUAUCCUAUUCCAACUACUUGGGUUGCUUUGAAAACUGCUAUGCGUACUCGUUGGGUUCCACCAUAUUGUCAACGUGAAUUACUUCAAAAAUUGCAGCGUUUAAGACAAGGAAAAAAUUCUGUAGAAGAAUUGAUAAAGGCGAGGGUGUCCCGAUCUUUCGAUGAGAUUAUAAUUGUCGAUUUGGUGGAGUAGACUUUGACGAUCCGACUACAAACAUGCAUGACGUUGCGCCUUAGCAAUCGCUAAACCAACUCCGAGAGGUUAUUGACCACGCCGGAGCAUGAUCAACCUGACCAUGAAGGCCUAUUCCUGCAAGCAAUCCAAGAACAAGAAAGAAUAUGAUAAAGCAAUCUAAAUAUUGCGAAUAUAUAUAUGAAGUGUUGAUAAAAGUGGAGUUCUAAAAGCGGUCUUGGUCUGGUCGUUGGAAACAAACGAAGUACACGAAGUUGGUCUGGCCGUUGGACACAAAUGAAGUACACGAAGUUGCAACAGUGGCUAACUUUUGACUAAUUAAAACCCAGAGUCUAAACGACGCCCUAAGGGCUGUAUAUAUGGAGGAAGAGCGGAGAAUUUCAUGGCUCUUGGAGGAGGGGUCCGAAACUAACCCUAACUCUUGUUUCCCCACACAUACGGACUCUAAAAACAGCCUAUACUUAAGUAUUUCAAAAAUACAUGGGCCUGGCCCAAUAAUAAGGUGACGCAUCACCUAGAAUAGCCUCUGGACGAAAUUUAUGAAGUGGCAUCUUGUAUAUUUCGUCCAAGGCUUCAUGCAAUCCUUACGGUGGCUUCAAAGUCCUGAAAUCAUCACUUGUAACUUCGUUCUUGAUCCCCUUGCGCAUGCCAUCAUCUCCAUGCUUGAACUUGCUCCAAGGUUCAUCUUUCUUGUCCAUGCUAGGCCCUUCAUUUGUAAGGAAAACAAAUCUAUCCAAUUUAUCUUUGCGGCAUAAAUUCAAAUGAUUGAUAUAUGCAUAGAAGGUUAAUGCAGGUGAUAAGAAAUAUGUUGCGGAGAGCACAUCAGAUUAUGUCCGAUAGCUUAUUAGCAGUCUCCCUUGAAUUACAAUGACAACCAGUCAACACUACAAUGUCACGAUCUUUGCACUUUGAUUUGUUUUCAUUGUAUAAAGUGUGGACCAAUUUCACAGGAUAAAGAAGUCUAAGCCUAAAGUCAUCAUGGUUGAGGUUGAUAGUAUAUCUGCUGGUGAUAGCGGUGGAGCUGCUGAUCUUAUUGCAAGAUUCCUAUAGUUUGCAUUUGUAAUGGCAGUUAUAGCAGGAAGCUGAAGAGCACUAUAAAUUACCUAUUUGGUACUCAACUUCAGGAAACCAACAAAUUAGCAGGUCAUUUCAUGCCACCAUAUUCUGAUGAUUUAUGAAAGACAUGAUUAGUUUUCUUACUGUUCUCUGUUAUAUCCUUAUUACCCUUACUGCUGACUGUGACAACUAACAUGCUGUUCUCAAUUGCUUUCUGGGACUCAUUUUAUCAGAUACAAGUCCGCUUGCAAUUUUUGGGAGAAUAAACAGUUCCUUUGGGUUCAUCGCUCGGUUUUGUCCCUGCUAUGCUUACUGCUCCUACAUGGCUCUUCAGGGUUAUGGAUGGAGUGCGUUAUUUCGACGGUCCUCUAUUUUUUUUGUUGCGUGUGCCUUCAGGUCCAUCAGGUAUAAUUGUGCUUCACCUCCCUUUCGUUGUUUUCUUUUAUCUUGGUGUUUUCUCUUUUGUUUAAUUCAUUGUUGUAUCGCUCAAGGGCAUCUUGAUUAGUUUGAAUUGUGCUUUUUUAGCUAGAUGAAUUUAUAAAUGGUUGCCCUUUUCUGUUGAUUAAGUGUCUAUGUGCAGAGGUUCAUCUCCCCCUUUUCAUUCUGCGGCAUUUGUUUUUCACUUAGUUUACAUAUGUUUGUGUCUGGUAAUGUACUCUUCCUCAUGGAUUCUUUGGGUUCAUGUUCUUUCAGUGCUUUAGGAAUCUUCAGUUCCAAUGGAAAAUAGGAUGUAUCAUGCAUGCAAAGAUGAGAGGAUAGUUGAUCCAAUUUCCUUGUGCUACAAAGUUAUUUGCCAUAUUCUUAUUUUUUAAAUGUGGAAUGCACAGCUUGGUUCACAGCUACUUAAUCUUGAAAAAUAAAAGGAAAAUAAUUUUGAGGGAAAAUAUAAAUCUAAACCAAUAAGGAGGCUGGGAUGAUAUUUGGAUUAAACAACAAGCUUGCUACAGCCAGUCAAGUGCUCAGUGACAAUUAGCUUGUGGACUGGUUCUUUAGUACCUGGUUAGAUCUCAUGUGUGCUAAAGGAGAAGAUUGGAUAAACCCAUGAGUUUGAAGCUCAGCUCCAUAAAUAUUUCCCCCUUGGUCAUUUAUGUACAUAACGGUGUGAUACGACACCUAUAGAAAUUGCUACUGAUACUUGGAAGGUCAUAUUUACACUAAUAUGCAGAUGCGGCUUUAUCAUUUUGAACCAUGUAUCAUGUUAGCGUACUGUUAUUAUCUUGUUUAUCCAUUCUUCUUUGUGUAAACUUCAGAGAUAUCUGUAUUAUAGUGAAAGAAUCACUGAACUGUUCACUUGAAACUCUUUGAAACUUUGAGAGCAGUGUUUAUUUACCUUACUUAGCAAUUGUAAGGGUAUCAUGUUAAACUACUUGCUGAAAUUCUGUAUUCUAUUACUAUUAAAGGUCACCCGCAGGCAGAUCAUUCCAGUACCACUCUACCGGUGUUUGGCCUGAAUCUGAAUAAUUAAAUCUCAAAACACAGUUACACAACAUAAGUUGGAAGUAAUGUGAGCUUGCUUGUUCGGUUAUGCUUGAUAUAUGAUGCCAAGAUUCGUCUUUGUCUCCUCUGUGCACCCAUCGUCUUCUAACCUCCUCUCAUCAUCAGGUAUAAGGCGAGUUGUGUCCCUGGUAGAGGUGCAGAUCAAGGAGGUCAACAAAUGGGAUGAUGUUGGGUGACGUUCACUAAGGAGGAAAAAGGUGUAGGGGUCGUUGUUUUUUUGGCGAUGGCAGCGGCAUACUUCCUUGAGCGAAGAAAGGAAUCCCCAGCCUGAAGCUUCGCACAGGUAUGUCUGAGCGUCUUAUUUGUUAGUGUUGCCAGCUCUGGGAAAUGCAUGCCGAGUAGUUGUUGGCUUGUUGCAUGUAUGUUAUUGCUACAGUAUUAAUUUUUUUUGCUGAGAAUACAAACUGUGAAGCCACUAUUUUCAUACUGUAUGUUAUUGCACAGGUAUGUCUGAGCGUCUUAUUCUCACAACAGUUAAUUCUAAGGCCAUUCAUAUCAUUGCAGAUUUUGCCUAUUCUCUGAGAUGGAUGAUGAUGAGCGGUGCAACCGAAAAUUCAGAGCUGAGCUUUACACACUUCAGUGGGUAAGUGAAGUUCCAGUUAAUCUUCUUUCCCCUAUUACCGCUCUAUUGUACAGAGAGCACUGAGUUUACAUUAGCUAAAUGUUAGAUUGGAAUGCAGGAGUGGCAUGACAACACCAAGGUAGAGACCUGAAGAGAAGCACAGGGACAGACCAAGGAAACUAGAACCACGCUGUCGUGAUGUGGGCCGUGUCGUCUUCGUCCAUCUCCAUGGAGGUAUAUAUAAAUAUAUAGGUUAGGUAUAGGAAAUGAGACCAUCUCCAUGGAACUCUGACUGAUGUGUAAUGUCCUCAUAGGACCUGACCGACCAAACUAAACAUUCACUCAUAUUUUUCAUUUUCUCACUUAUCAUUAAUACGAAUUUUUUUGUUUAAAACUUAAAAGUCAAACCUGGAUUUACCGCUUGUGUCUACUCCAGUGUGUUAUAUUCUUCAGAAUGUCUUUAUGAGCAAGAACGGAUCAAUCAUAAAUUUUCAGAACAUCUCUAUUGAGUUUUUCCCUUCUAUAUCCUAUCUUCUCAGCACUUCUAGAAAGAGGUCAGACCUCCUAAUUUUUUCUUUUGUGUUCCCCAUGAUUCCGGUCCUUAUAAUUUAUCUGUUUUUGUAACAACUUUUAGCAUGUCAUAACAUUUAAUUAUGCGCUCUUAUAUUAUUAUAUUCUUACAAUCUUGUGUUUUGAAUAAUUCUUGUGGCUUGAAGUCAGAACAGUUUUAAAUAUAUCCAAAGGAUGAUAAUCGUCCGUGUCAAGUUGAGUGCACGAGAAAGAUAGAGAAAAAAUAAAGGUGAAAAGGGUCUGAGUACUGUUUCCUCACUUUUCAUGAUGUGAAUGUCCUUUAAUUCUUGUUAUUUCUAUUAAAUAAAGUAAAAAAUACUCAUGUAUAUUAAGUACUUUAAUGCAUAUUUUGAAAUUUUGAAUUCUACAGUUCAAUCAAUGAGACCAAUAGUUAGUGUAGAAACAUAUUAAACAAUUAUAGAUGUUGCCUGCACAUAAGCGCGCCCAUGGAGAAUCCAAAUUGUAUUAGAGAAAGCGAAAAAUAAUAAUUCUCAUGUUUGAGGUUCAGUUUCAUACUGGUUGCAAUUUCUUAUAGAUAGGUUAUUUUGUUGUAGGAUAAAUGGAGGUAAUAAGGUCAUAUGAUACUAAUGGGCUUGCUCUAAUCCCAAAGCUCAUUAGUGUUGGGACCAUCUUGAAAAUUAUGCUUCCACCUAUUGAUUUGUGUUGCCUUAGUUUGUUUAUAAUGUAACCAGUCCAAGGGCUGACGAGUUUUCGAGCCCUAUGACCUUUUUUUUAAGAUUGAGCCCUAUGACCUUUGUACACUCAGCUUACGUUCUACAAGGUUCAUGUGUCGUGCAGUGUUCUCGCUUUCCAAGCUACAGUCUUAUAUUAGUUUACAGAGGGAGAGAAGGAGUACUUGAAAAGAGAUUCUUUAUAUAUUGUUUGGUUCCAUCAGCCAUAUAACCUAAAAUAGCAAUUAGGUAUCUACACAGUGUAGUGUAACCAUUGUGCUUGCUGCAGUUUUACUUUAGUGUUGAAAUGCUUUUCUUAGUUUGUUCUAUAAUACGAAAUAUUUUUUUUCCAGCCAUUGUUUUCUAAAUCCUAUCAGCAUAUUACCUGAUAUGGCCUUUGAAGUUUCUGUUUUAUAACGAGCUUUGCACUGGUCAGCUUGAGUAUGGUAUGGUUUAUUCUUUUCUGUUGCGGCUAUUCCAGAGAAGUUUAGAGCUCCACAACCUUCUGAAGACUUGAUUUACAGUAGCGGUGAUGAAACAAUCAAUCAAUUGAGAUUCAUCACAUGAUCUUUUUCUCUUGACAUUGAUGGGUAUCGAACCCAUAGAUCAACUUAUCAAUGGAUCUCUUGUCAGUGUUGAGAAGGUGUCACAAAAACUCAAGAGCAGUUUUAAUAUGGUCUCUUACCUUCUUACCUAUCAUGUGAAAAGAGAGGGUAAGAGGGACCAUGUCAAAAUUAGCCAAAACUCAAACACAGGGCAAUCAGCUAAGGAAAGAAGCUAAGAAGCAUCAGAAAAGGCUUUUAGGAUGGUAUAGCAGUCAAAUGCAUCCUAGGAUUGGUACUUUUAAGAAUUAUGGUGUGUUUUGCUCCUUUUUUGUUUACCUUAGCCACAUAGGUUAGCCUCAAUUCAUUAUUAUCCUUCUAUUUAGAGUAGGUGCAGAACUAACACUAACCUAGGUUGUGAGAGCUGAUGAUGAUGAUUCUAUUAAAACUCCUUGCUAGCUGCACCGUUUGUCUCUGUAAACAAUAUAACUAAGGGCAUAUGGUUUCCAAUGUGACUAAGAUCUAAAUUCUUGCCGAGUGUAGUUUCUAAAGCAUAGAGUUGCUGAAAAAUUGAAAUACAUUCUUAAUUGGCCUGUACAUCUUAUACACAUGUUUUUUUCAAGCUCAUAUUUCUUAGCGUGAUAACCAUACUUUCAACUAAAAAAAUGCUUCCUUAAUUGGUUUGUACAUGUUAUACAAAUAUGAUUUUUAAACUCACAUUUUCAGCGUGAUAAACAUAUUUUCAAUAUAGCAUGAUUUAACACAUGGGCUUUCUACUACCAAUAUCGAAUAUGUCCUUGCAAAAUGAAACUAUUUUUCUCGAUAACAUGGCUUUAGUGGGUCUCUGCGCCAUUUGGCGCAAUGGGUCAACUAGUAAUAAGAAAAUGUGGGAAGAAUGCUUGCCUCAUAUUGAAUUUGCUUAUAAUCAUUCAUUGCAUUCUACUACUAAGAUGUGCCCUUUUGAAAUUGUGUAUGGUUUCCUACCUCGUGCACCUAUUGAUUUAUUGCCUCUUCCAUCUUCGGAGAAGGUUAAUAUUGAUGCUAAAGAACGUGCUGAAUUGAUUUUAAAAAUGCAUGAGUUAAUUAAGGAAAACAUUAAGCGUAUGAAUGCUAAAUAUAAAUUUGCUGGAGAUAAGGGUAGAAAACAUGUUGUGGAGACCAAGCAUGGAGAUGAUGGCAUGCGCAAGGGGAUCCAGAACGGAGUUACAAGUGAUGAUUCUAGGACUUUGAAGCCACCAUAAUGAGUGCAUGAAGCCUUGAACGAAAUAUACAAGAUGCCACUUCAUAAAUUUCGUCCGGAGGUUAUUCUAGGUGCUGUGUCACCUUAUUAUUGGGCCAGGCCAAUGUAUUUUCGAAAUACUUAAGUAUAGGCUGUUUUUAGAGUCCGUAUGUGUUGGGAAACAAGAGUUAGGGUUGGUUUCGGACCCCUUCUCCAAGGGCCACGAAAUUCCCCCUCUCUCCUCCAUAUAUACACCCCUUAGGGCAUCGUUUAGACUUUGGGUUUUGUUUAGAUUAAAAGUUCG